AAAACUUAUCCUUACAAUCCACAUGAAAACCUUUUUGUUAUCUAUUCAUAAGCAAUAUAUUAUAACUCUUAAGCAACAACUCAAAAAUUCUGAUUACCAAACCAUGUGACCGAAACCCACCUUCGCAAUCAGAAUCAACAUAUACUUACUUUAAGCUUCCUAUCUUUUCUUUGAUUCUUAAAAACAUCAGCAUGUGACCCAUUCACAUUAUGUAAUAAGAAUCUCCAAAUAGGAACUUAAUAGAGUUAGAUAGUGGACUUUACCCGAAGUAGAGUCAAACCUCUUGACUUGAUCAACCUUAUGACCUUUCAGGUGAAUAGGGCAGCUUCGCAACCAAUGCCCCUUCCUUNAAAGUAACUAUGAUUGGGAAUUAAAUAAAACAUUUAGUUACUUUAUAAUAAUCAUUAUACUUUUAAUGAGAAUUUAAAUUCAUUGUCCUACCCGUUCGGUUAACAACCCUCCACCAGUCAAGCAAANAUAUCCAAUGCUACCAUUGUCAAUGUCCAUUUAAGACUUGGGAAGUUGUUCUUUUAAUCAAAGUUUCUUUACUGGUGUUCCAAAUCAUUGCUAGUUCCACAACACCAAGCAAAUAGAUAACAUCAUUAAGGGUCAUGUCAUAGUCUGUCUCAUAGUAGUCCCAAAGAGACUCACUAUGUUACUAAGAAAGUGAUUGAACAUCCAACUUUCACGAGACUUUGACACCCAACUCUCCCGGCUUGUCAAUAUGUGACUUUAUCUCCAAGAUGUGAGCACACAUAGACUAUGCUUGCCAAUAGGGAUUGAGUGACUUUAAACUUUUCAAGAACUUGUGGGUGAGGGAGAAUAAUUGGAGGAGGUGGAGGAAGUGAAGCAUGAUGUUGAGGGACACCAUCUUCAAGAGAUUUGGGAAGAUCAUAGUUGUCUGAACCAGACAUCUAUAAUGGGAGAAAAUCAAGUUAGUUGAUUCAAAGUCCUUAAUAUAACACCCAAUAUGAAAUAUUAAGGCUAGGACCCAACACAAUAUUUUAUAAUUUGGAAGAGGGAUGCCGUAAUCCAAGCUAUAAAAUAUUUGAAGGUAGGCGAAUGACGAUUCACCAAUUUCCACCAUGAAAAACGAAAUAAUUUAUUAGGUUUUAAUUGGAUUUGAAAUUCCUAGAUCUUUUGNAAAUAAGUUUUACAACACCAAAACAAUUUAGGGUAAUGUUUCCAGUCCAUUUCCAGCAGCAAAAGUCGAGAUUCUGCAUUCUUUCGAUCCUACUCGCCGAGUGCACGAACGGACUCGUCGAGUAGGUUGAAGUUUGCCUUGGACUCGGCGAGUCCCCCCAAUGGACUCGGCGAGUCUAGCAUGCAGACAGCAACAAUUUCAACUUUUUUCACUAUUUUGCAUCAAGUAUCAAACAAGCAAGCCUAGGCUCUGAUACCACUGUUGGGUUUUGAGCAAUCUAACACUUCCUAAGUGUGCAUGCAACCCUAAUAAACCUUGGAUCUAUGUUUGUCUAAAUACAUGCAAAAUAAUAAUUUUCCAAGGUUCAUAACCUAUCUAACAUGGCAUCGGGUACUUUUAAACAUAAAAGAAUUAGAUGAGAUUUCAUACAUUUUGAUGAUGAGUUUGAUUUCUAGGGAGUUUUGAGGGCCAAGCACCAAUAGUGUGAAUGCCUCAAAUGGAAUCACAAAUCACCACAAACUCUUGGAAAACUUUGAGAGAGUGUAUACACACAUAUAAAGUCGGCCAGUCACAAAGUCUCACACAACUAGUGCCACUAGAGGCUAUUUCAUGCAACAUAAGCAUGCUUAUAUAGUGUGCAUGGUUAGGGUGAAACCCUAAUAACCCAUGACCUUUCCUUUUCCAAGGAUCCAUGGGUUAAAAGAUCCAUGGAUCAUCCAUGGACUUUCAUACAAGCCUAACCCAUUAAAAAAUGAGUGUUAGCCCACACCAUAUAAAACCAAUAGCCCACAAUCUAAUUAGUCUUCCUUUUAAUCUCUAAAUUAAUUCAUAAUUAAUUUAAGACUAAGACCAAUUAAAUAACAUGACUUCAUAUUAAUAUAUUAUAACUUAUAAUAUAUUAAUAAUCAUAUGUGUAUAACUCUCAUAAAAUUAUCCAUAAAUAGUUUGGAUGAAAUGCAACCUAAAUGGACCAUGCCGGGUCGGGUCAACUAUAUACCAAAUAAGUUAUGGACUUAGACACCUUAUCCAACACGAAGACCCGGAGGAAGACCCAGAGGAAAUCGAAGAGGAGGUCGACGAAGAACUCGAAGGGGAAAUCGAAGAAGAAUUCGAAGUCGACGAAGAGGUCGAGGAAAUUGCAAGUGGAACAGACUCCGAGCCGGAAGUAAUCGACCAUCACAUCCCUCAUCCUCCCGAAAUCAGACCAUAUCAACUGGGACCCAUUCCCAUGUGGGGAAGUCACCUCUACUAAUGGAGCCGCCAGCAAGGUGUACGCCCUCCCUUCGGCAUGUGUCGAGAUUUUUACAAUGUCAGUGGGGGAGGCUCAGCUGAUCGAGCACUUCCUGUUAUUGUGGGCGCCAUAGCUACCAAGAAGUACCAGACGGACAAGCAUGUAACUAGAGUUCACGAGAUCAAUGCUGCUACUCAAGGUAAUGCCGCAGACAUCCGCCGUUUGGAAGGACUACAUGAGAAUACCCAAAUCUACAUAGGGACGCUUCAGAACCAAAUGAUAACGGCACUAGUAGAAAUAAGAGAGAUGAAGGAACAACAAGCAGAUCUCGAGAGGCGCCUGAUAGGAGUGAAACAGUCGGAUGUCGAAUCUAGCUCCAAACAUGCAACACACCGCAAGUAGAGCUUGCUCAAACCCCAACAAUUUUGUUAUAAAAUAGGACAUCGGAUAAAAGUUUUCCCCUUAUUUCCUUUUGUAUCUGUAAUUGGAGACCUCUAGGUAGGUUAAAUUUUCCAAACAAGAAACGUAAUGUAACACACCUCAGGUGUGACCUAUAUAUAUGAAUAUGAAGUACUACUUUGUAUACCUCUCAGAACUUAUGGGAUUAACUAAAAAUUUCUAUACUUACCUUGAAACCAUAAACUAAAGUCAAAACAAAUUACAAGAUACAACUAACACACGAUUGUCAAAACAUUAGAAACUUAUAGUAUUCAUUCUUAUUUUCUCUACCAGAACAUGCCUCCUCGUAGAUCAACACGUAGAAACUCAACUUCAACACCACCUCCUCCAAUUAUGGAUGACGUUAUGUUCCAAACUGCUGUAACCGCUGCUGUAACCGCAACGAUGGCUCAAAUGAGCAACAACGGAUCAGGAGGAGGAACAAACAGCUUUACAAAUGGCCAAGGUCAAGGCCGUUCACGGGUAUGCACUUACAAAGACUUCACCAACGGAAAACCUAUUCCCUUUUAUGGGACUGGGGGAGUAUUGGCUCUAUUUCAAUGGAUAGAGAAAACAAAAGCUGUAAUCGAAAGUUGCGCAUGCCCUGAAGAAAGCAAAGUAAAGUUUGCUACUUUUACCUUCUCUAAACGAGCCCUGACAUGGUGGAAUGGCCACAUCAGGACACUAACCCUAGUGGUGGUGAACUCCAUGGGUUGGGAAAACUUGAAACAAAUGCUCCUUCGAGAAUACUGCCCAAGAGGCGAGAUUCAGAAGCUUGAACAGGAACUGUGGAGCCUUUCGAUGGUAGGCUCGGACAUCGCAGGUUACACCAACAGAUUCAGUGACUUAAUAACACUUUGCCCAGGAAUAUUGAUCAUGGAAAGCCAAAAGGUCGAGAGAUAUAUCUAGGGACUAUCACCCCAACUUCGAGGAAGUGCGUUAGCUUCCAAACCCAUGACCUUCGACAGUGCCAAGGAACUGGCGCAAUCUCUCGUUGAUCAUGGUGUCUGUCAAGGAGUCACAGCUAUCAUGGCUGAACCAACCAAAGGGAACAUCAACAACGAGAUCAAUUCCAUCAACAACAACAAGAAGAAAUUCUGGAACAAGAGAACCUUCAAAGAAACAAAUGGUUGCGGUUCAUGCUACUAUUGCUCCCACCACAACUCUUGCUACCCCUGCGCCAAGAAAACCAUAUGCAGGGAACCUGCCCAAGUGCAGCAAAUGCAACUACCAUCACCACGAUAUUUGCUGCGAGAUGCACUAUAAGAACUGCGACAGGAAAGGGCACACAGCCCGUUUCUGUAAAGCACCAGCACGACCAGUCACUCAAGUUCCUGGUACUGGGUUAAGUCAGGCAUGUUACGGGUGUGGAGAAACUGGGCACUUCAUGAACGACUGCCCCAAGACGAGGAAUGUUGGCGGUGUUGGGAGUGUACUAGCAAUAGGUCAAAAUGAAGCAAUAGCCGACCCAACGGUGGUUACGGGUUUGUUUAUCCUCAACAACAUUUAUGCAUGCAUACUCUUUGACUGCGGUGCGGAGAGAAGUUUUAUGGGUCAUAAAUUCAAACACUUACUUAAUCAAAGACCCCAACCACUCAAUAAAAUAUUCACUGUAGAAAUGGCUAACGGUAAAACGGAAAGCACAAGCGAUAUGUACGUAGGGUGCACAUUAAAUUUAGAUGAACACUUAUUUCAAAUCGACCUAAUGCCCAUUUCGAUAAGAAGUUUCGAUGUCAUCAUCGGUAUGGACGGGUUGAGCCUUCACCAUGCCGAUAUACUUUUUCACGAAAGGGUCGUUCGCCUCAAUCUGCCAAACGGCCAAAACUCUUGUUAUUUAAGGUGACAAACCUAGUUCAAGUUUACAAAUCAUCUCCUGUGUUAAGGCACAAAAUUAACUUCGCAAUGAAUACCAUGCCUUUCUAGCCCAUGUAGUAGACCAGAUACAAGAACCAAAGAACAUUAAAGACAUUCCGGAAGUCUGCAACUUUCCAGAUAUUUUCCCAGAAGAUCUUCCAGGAAUUCCACCAGAGCGCCAAGUUGAGUUCAGAAUCGACUUAAUCCCCGGAGCUACCCCAGUAGCAAAGUCGCCUUACCGUUUAGCCCCAGCCGAGAUGCAGGAACUGUCCAGUCAAUUAAACGAGCUGCUGAGUAAGGGAUUCAUCAGACCGAGCUUCUCACCAUGGGGAGCACCAGUCCUAUUCAUGAAAAAGAAGGAUGGAUCCUUUCACAUGUGCAUCGAUUAUCGGGAGCUGAACAAACUCACGAUCAAGAACCGAUAUCCCCUACCGCGCAUAGACGAUCUGUUCGACCAACUACAGGGAGCAAGCUUCUUCUCAAAGAUCGAUCUAAGAUCUGGUUAUCACAAACUGCGAGUGUUGGAGGGAGACAUCCCCAAAACGGCUUUCCGAACACGUUAUGGUCACUACGAGUUUUUAGUAAUGCCCUUCGGUUUGGCAAAUGCUCCAGCGGUGUUCAUGGACUUGAUGAACCGAGUAUGUCGUCCCUUCCUGGAUAAAUUUGUGAUCGUGUUCAUAGAUGAUAUACUCAUCUAUUCUAGAAGCCAGGAAGAACACUGCCAACACCUCUGCCAAGUCUUGGAAACGUUGAGGACAGAGAAGCUUUACGCAAAAUUUUCCAAGUGCGAAUUUUGGAUUCAGAAAGUGGAUUUCCUAUGACAUGUAGUAAGCAAGGACGACAUACACAUGGAUCCUUCUAAGAUCAAGGCAAUAGAACGUUGGACGACACCAAGGACCCCUACAGAAAUCCGGCAAUUUUUGGAACUCGCCGGGUAUUACCGAAGGUUCAUACAGAACUUUUCGAAGAUUGCCAAAACACUUACCACCCUAACUCAGAAGAGUGUGACCUUCGACUGGGGAGAAAAACAAGACGCCGCGUUUCAAACGCUAAAGCGAGCCUUAUGUAGUGCGCCCAUCCUAACCUUGCCAGAAGGAACGGAGGACUUCGUGCUCUGUUAUUGUGCAUCAAACCAAGGACUUGGGUGGGUCCUGAUGCAACGAGGGAAGGUCAUCGCCUACGCCUCAAGGCAACUAUAUACGCACGAAGUGAACUACACAACACACGAUCUUGAGUUAGGAGCAGUCAUCUUCGCUCUAAAGAUAUGGAGGCACUAUGUCUACGGCACGAAAUGUAUGAUCUUCACCGACCAUAAAAGCCUCCAACAUAUCCUCAAACAGAAAGAACUCAACAUGAGACAAAGACGGUGGGUAGAACUACUAAAUGAUUAUGAAUGCGAGAUUCGAUAUCAUCCCAGAAAGGCUAACGUGGUGGCUGAUGCACUCAGCCGGAAGGAAUACUCGGGCCGCAGAGUAAAGUCUUUAACCAUGACAAUCCAUUCACACCUGUCCACACAAAUCAAGGAAGCCCAGAUAGAAGCCUUAACAUCUGGAAAUGUGGCAGGGGAAGCCUUAAGGGGAAUGGAUAAGAAGUUUGAGGUCAAGAAUGAUGGAGUUCAUUACUUCAUGGAUCGGAUCUGGACGCCGAAGUUUGGCGGAUUCAGAGAAGUCGUCAUGAACGAAGCCCAUAAAACACGAUACUCCAUACACCCUGGCUCCGAUAAGAUGUAUCUCGACCUCAAGAAAUUGUACUGGUGGCCGAACAUGAAGGCCGAAAUUGCUACCUACGUGAGUAAAUGUCUGACGUGCGCUAAGGUCAAGGUAGAAUACCAAAACCCUCGGGAUUAUUGCAACAACCAAAAAUACUCGAAUGGAAGUGGGAACGUAUAACCAUGGAUUUCAUAACCAAACUAUCCAGAACGGCAAGCGGACUCGACACUAUCUGAGUGAUUGUCGACAGGUUAACUAAAUCAACGCACUUCCUACCGAUCAAAGAGACGGAUAAAUUAGAGAAGCUAACUAGGACAUACCUCAAAUAAAUUGUACGACUAUAUUGUGUGCCCAUAUCCAUUAUCUCAGACCGAGAUAGUAGGUUCACCUCAAGGUUCUGGCAGGCACUACAAAAAUCUCUAGGGACAAGAUUGGACAUGAGUACUGCUUAUCACCCACAAACCGACUGCUAGAGUGAGAGAACCAUACAAACCCUAGAAGAUAUGUUGAGGUCUUGUGUAAUCGAUUUUGGUAAGGCAUGGGACACACAUCUACCUUUGGUCGAGUUCUCGUACAAUAAUAGCUACCACACCAGUAUCAAAGCUGCCCCGUUCGAAGCCCUCUAUGGCCGCAAAUGCAGGUCGCCUCUGUGUUGGGCCGAAGUGGGGGACACACAGCUAGCAAAAGGACAAGCAACAGACAACGCGCUCACUGGACCAGAAAUCAUAAGAGAAACUACGGAGAAGAUUGUUCAGAUCUGGGAACGUCUAAAAGCAUCAAGAGAUAGACAAAAGAGCUACGCGGAUAAACGACGGAAACGCUUGGAAUUCCAGGUCGGAGAUCGAGUUCUACUAAAGGUCUCGCCCUGGAAGGGAUUAAUACGCUUCGGGAAGCGCGGGAAACUGAACCCAAGAUACAUCAGACCAUUCGAGAUCCUUGCCAAGAUCGGCCCAGUGGCUUAGAAACUUAGAUUACCUCAGGAGCUCCACAACGUACACCCUACCUUUCACGUAUCAAACCUAAAGAAGUGCUUGUCCGAUGAGACCCUUGUCAUCCCUCUAGACGAAAUUGCAAUAAAUGAAAAUCUCCACUUUGUAGAGGAACCAGUAUACAUCAUGGAUCGGGAAAUAAAAAGGACUAAACAAAGCCGCAUACCUAUUGUAAAGGUCCGUUGGAACGCCAAGCGAGGACCUGAAUACACCUGGGAACGCGAGGAUCAGAUGAAACAAAAGUACCCGCAUCUUUUACCUAACCGGUAAACUCUAUCUUAGAUUAAAUUUCGCGACGAAAUUCCCUUAACAGGGGGAUGAUGUGACAACCCUAUAUUUUUCCAAAAGCAGUGUAACGCUCAAAAGUCUAAAACAACGAAAACUAUUUGGAAUCAACUAAAUUAACCCCAAAAAUAAAGUGUUCAAAUAUCUAAGUUGGGAUGCAUCAAAUAUUAGAUAUCGUGCCAAGGUUUCCAAAAACGUAAAGAACGUUCAAAACCUGGUUAUAUUGAAGAAAUUAUAACCAAUCGUAUAUUUACGACACACCGUUAAAACGCUAUUUAACGUAAAAAGUGAAAUUUCAAUAAAAUGCUUUUUUGCCUUAAGUAUCUAAACAAAAGAUGUAGAGUUCGUUAAUCUAUAAACAUACAUAAAAAGAUCGCCCAAAUUGGACCUCGUAUGAAGAAGUUACGAAUUUCCUAUGUUUCGUAACAGUAGUAGAGGGCUAAAAACUCAAAUUGAAGAUUGAGUGUUAUUUAGCUAUUGCCACCUAAACGGAAGUUGAACAUCUCCACAAUUGUAAUAAAAUGAUAAAAAGACAAACGAAAACCGACGUCGAAUAAAGAAACUAUGAAUUUUUAACGGACUUUAUUAGUCCCGGCCUAUUAAAUCUAUAUCACUAAAAAUAAAGUCAAAACUAGCUGCCGGAGUCUAAAUGAAAGUUGUAGAGCAUAAUCUCAGCUGCGCGUGGAUAUGUAGAACGCAAAAAACGGAGCCUGUACGCGAAAGUUACGGAAUUUAGGAAAUGGAAGACUGGACUACGCCCUGCGUAAUCCAAAAUUAUGCCCUGCGUAAUCCAAAAUUACGCCCCGCGUACUAGACCCAGAGUGGAGUCCCAUCGGCUGCAACUCUACACUUAGCUAGAUCGGAGUCGUAAGCCGUGAUGCAUUUCUACGCCCCGCGUAACCGAAGUACGCCCCGCGUACCGAGUACGCCCUGCGUACGCCGGUAGUACACCCCGCAUACGCGAAUCCUCCAGCCUAUAAAUAGAAGGUGUGAGCCACGAGUUUUUGCACACAUUCUCAAACUCUCAGUCACUCCCUCAUACUUUCAAGCUUCAGAGACCAUCCCGACACCCUCGGUUUCCGUACCUGAGCCCUCGAUGAAAGAUCUACACUACCGAGACCCCCAAAGAGCCUGAAGGCGCAACUUUCUGCGGUCGAAGUUCUGCUCAACUCUAGCCUCUCUCUCUUCAAACCAAACGAGCGAGUUCAUACCCCUACUUUUCAAUUCUUUUGAUGUUUUAGGGGGGGAAUACAAGUACAUUAAAAGUCAAAAUAUCGUUUUAUAAACAUAAUUAUAAUAUCUAUCUUAUAGAGUAUCGAUACAAACAUCUUUAUGUUUAAAGGGCUAUUAUGUCAUCAAGUUAUUCUUACUAAAUGGAAACAUACUUUUUGAGAAACUAUAAUGAGUAUAGUUAACAAGUUAUUCAUACAUUUUACAUAUACAUCUUGACAAACGAAAUACUUUCAAAUGAAGUAAAGUCUUUCUUAUCGUAAAACUGUUUAUACCAAGUAAUGUGAGAUAUUCAAACUUCAAUGUAGUCGUAUGUAUGCAUUUCAAAUCCUGCAUUAUAUACCAUAAUCUCUUGGAGGGAGAGCGUGAUACUUGUGUAUAGAUCUAUAUGGGAUUGACAACCCCGCACCUAAACUAUUAGCUAUAGUUAGAUCGGCAGGUUUGGGGUGACAAAUGUCAUAAGACUACAACACCUGAAGAAUGUUGUUACAGGCUGUCAGUGUCAAUAGUAUGGUUAUAAAACUCACAUAAAAGUAUAAAAACAAGUUUGAUUUACGAGAUUCAUAUAUGCAUUCAGUUUUCCACAUCGUUUUUAGCACAAAGUUUAUCAUUAUUAUUCAAGUAUGGAACAUACUAAUGCACUCCAACUCUAGAAACUUUUCAAACCAUUUAUAGAAAAUAUUGGAUUUUCUGAAAACCUCGUUGAUCGAUUUACUACUAAAAGGACAUAAUUUUCAAUGAAAAACACUUAUGAACUCACCAUCUUAAUUGUUGACACUUUUUCGAAACCACUUGUAUUUCUCAGGGAAUCAGUAAUACAGGUAACUACCAGCUUUUGAAGAAGGAACGCUAAGGACGUUUUAUUAUUGAACAUUUAUCAUCAUAUUGUAAUAUUCUUUUGCUAAUAUGUAUAACGCAACAAUAUACGUUUUCAUUAUAUAUAUGAUGGUUGUGUUACUUUCUUUACAAUAUUCAAUUGUUUUGAUACUACGUGAAGUCAACCACCUCCGAAUGUUUCCGCCAUUCUGGUUUGGGGGUGUGACAGAUUGGUAUCAGAGCAUUGUUUAUAAUGAACUAAGUAUAUCGAACCACAUAAGAUAUACAAAACUAUAAAUGCAAAGGGGACCAAAAACCCUCUGACAAAACAUUUUCAUGAACAGUAUAUUUUCUUUUAAAAAUAUACAUCUUUACUCGCAUGUAUUAGUCUCGUCUCAUGACAAGUUUUCUACAGAGUAUUAAGGCAAGUUGCGACACUACGAUUGGGCCUCGGGGUAUGUAAUCAGGUCGAGAAUAAAUAUAGCCUGAUCAACUAUAUUUAUCCUAGAUUUGACCAACGUACGUCGAGGAAUGGUCGUAGUGGACAACAAGCCAAAAACUUACCAAAUAGAAAUUAUUUUAGUUUCGCCAAUUUGAAAUACUAUAGGAGUAUUGUUAAAAAUAAUUAUACAAUGAAACACUUGCGCCCCGUAAGGAUAUAGUUAAACAUAGGGAGUCGUUAAAUAGAAAUUUCUUUUCUUAUGAAAUUCUCAUACCUCUAACCUAGUACAGACAAAUGGCCGGAUUCCAUUUACCGGGAGAUCCCCACUACCCAAACCAAGGCAACGGCGGCUGGAUAGAAGAAGACCCAGAGGAAGACCCAGAGGAAAUCGAAGAGGAGGUUGAGGAAGAACUCGAAGGGGAAAUCGAAGAAGAAUUCGAUGUCGAAGUCGGAGAAGAAUUCAAAGUCAACGAAGAGGUCGAGGAAAUUACUAGUGGAACAGACUCCGAGCCGGAAGUAAUCGACCCUCCCAUCCCUCAUCCUCUCGAAAUCAGACCAUAUCAACUGGGACCCAUUCCCAUGAGGGGAAGCCACCUCUACUACUGGAGCCGCCAACAAGGUGUAUGCCCUCCCUUCGGCAUGUGUCGAGAUUUUUACAAUGUCAGUGGGGGAGGCUCAGCUGAUCAAGCACUUCCUGUUAUUGUGGGCGCCAUAGCUACCCAGAACUACCAGACGGACAAGCACGCAGCCAGAGUUCGCGAGAUCAAUGCUGCUACUCAAGGUAACGCCGCAGACAUCCGCCGUUUGGAAGGACUACAUGAGAAUACCCAAAUCUACACAGGGACGCAUCAGAACCAAAUGAUAACGGCACUAGCAGAAAUAAGAGAGAUGAAGGAACAACAAGCAGAUCUCGAGAGGCGCCGGAUGGGAGUCAAACAGUCGGAUGCCAAUCUUGCUCCAAACGUGCAACACGCCGCAAGUAGAGCUUCCUCAUACCCCAUCAAUUUUGUUAUAAAAUAGGACUUAGGAUAAAAGUUUUUCCCUUAUUUCCUUUUGUAUCUGUAAUCGGAGACCUCUAGGUAGGUCAAAUUUUCCAAACAAGAAGCGUAAUGUAACACACCUCAGGUGUGACCUACAUAUAUGAAUAUGAAGUACUACUUUGUAUACCUCUCGGAACUUAUGGGAUUAACUUAAAAUUUCUAUACUUACCUUGAAACCAUAAACUAAAGUCAAAACAAAUUACAAGAUACAGCUAACACACGAUUGUCAAAACAUUAGAAACUUAUAGUAUUCAUUCUUAUUUUCUCUACUAGAACAUGCCUCCUCGUAGAUCAACACAUAGAAACUCAACUUCAACACCACCUCCUCCAAUUAUGGAUGCCGUUAUGUUCCAAAUUGUUGUAACCGCAACGAUGUCUCAAAUGAGCAACAACGGAUCGGGAGGAGGAAGAAACAGCUUUACAAAUGGCCAAGGUCAAGGCCGUUCAGGGGUAUGCACUUACAAAGACUUCACCAACGGAAACGUUAUUCCCUUUUAUGGGACUAGGGGAGUAUUGGCUCUAUUUCAAUGGAUAGAGAAAACAGAAGCUGUAAUCGAAAUUUGUGCAUGCCCUGAAGAAAGCAAAGUAAAGUUUGCUGCUUCUACUUUCUCUGAACGAGCCCUGACAUGGUGGAACGGCCACGUCAAGACACUAACGCUAGUGGUGGCGAACUCCAUGGGUUGGGAAAACUUAAGACGAAUGCUCCUUCGAGAAUACUGCCCAAGAGGCGAGAUUCAGAAGCUUGAACAGGAACUGUGGAGCCUUUCGAUGGUAGGCUCGGACAUCGCAGGUUACACCAACAGAUUCAGUGAUUUAAUAACACUUUGCCCAGGAAUAUUGAUCCUGGAUUGCCAAAAGGUCAAGAGAUACAUCUGGGGACUAUCACCCCAACUUCGAGGAAGUGUGUUAGCUUCCAAACCCAUGACCUUCGACAGCGCCAAGGACCUGACGCAAUCUCUCGUUGAUCAUGGUGUCUGUCAAGGAGUCACGACUAUCAUGGAUGAACCAACCAAAGGGAACAGCAACAACAAGAUCAAUGCCAACAACAACAACAAAAAGAAAUUCUGGAACAAGAGAAAGGGGCAAACUUCGCAAGAACCUUCAAAGAAACAAAUGGUUGCGAUUCAUGCUGCUACUACUCCCACCACAACUCCUGCUACCCCUGCGCCAACAAAACCAUAUGCAGGGAACCUGCCCAAGUGCAGCAAAUGCAACUACCAUCACCACGGUAUUUGCCACGAGAUGCACUGUAAGAACUGCGAUAGGAAAGGGCACACAGCCCAUUUCUGUAAGGCACCAGCAGGACCAGUCACUCAAGUUCCUGGUACUGGGAUAAGCCAGGCAUGUUAUGGCUGUAGAGAAACUGGGCACUUCAAGAGGGACUGCCUCAAGACGAGGAAUGUUGGAGGUGUUGGGAGAGUACUAGCAAUAGGUCAAAAUGAAGCAAUAGCCGACCCAAAGGUGGUUACGGGUACGUUUCUCCUCAACAACAUUUAUGCAUGCAUACUCUUUGACUGCGGUGCGGAGAGAAGUUUUGUGAGUCAUAAACUCAAACACUUACUUAAUAAAGUAUUCAUUAUAGAAAUGGCUAAUGGUAAAACGGAGAGCACAAGUGAUAUGUACGUAGGGUGCACAUUAAAUUUAGACAAAAACUUAUUUCAAAUCGACCUAAUGCCCAUUUCGAUAAGAUGUUUCGAUGUCAUCAUCGGUAUGGACUGGUUGAGACUUCACCAUGCCGAUAUACUUUGUCACGAAAUGGUCGUUCGCCUCAAUCUGCCAAACGGCGAAACUCUUGUCAUUUAUGGUGACAAACCUAGUUCAAGUUUACAAAUCAUCUCCUGUGUUAAGCCACAAAAAUAUCUUCGCAUGGAAUACCAUGCCUUUCUAGCCCAUGUAGUAGACUAGAAACAAGAACCAAAGAACAUUAAAGACAUUCCGAAAGUCUGCAACUUCCUAGAUAUUUUCCCAGAAGAUCUUCCAGGAAUUCCACCAGAGCGCCAAGUUGAGUUCAGAAUUGACUUAAUCCCCGGAGCUACCCUAGUAGCAAAGUCGCCUUACCGUUUAGCCCAGCCGAGAUGCAGGAACUAUCCACUCAACUAAACGAGCUGCUGAGCAAGGGAUUCAUCAGACCGAGCUUCUCACCAUGGGGAGCACCAGUCCUAUUCGUGAAAAAGAAGGAUGGAUCCUUUCGCAUGUGCAUCAAUUAUCGGGAGCUGAACAAACUCACGAUCAAGAACCGAUAUCCCUUACCGCGCAUAGACGAUCUGUUCGACCAACUACAGGGAGCAAGCUACUUCUCAAAGAUCGAUCUAAGAUCUGGUUAUCACCAACUGCGAGUACUAGAAGGAGACAUCCCCAAAACGGCUUUCCGAACACGUUAUGGUCACUACGAGUUUGUAGUAAUGCCCUUCGGUUUGACAAAUGCUCCAGCGGUGUUCAUGGACUUGAUGAACCGAGUAUGUCGUCCCUUCCUGGAUAAAUUUGUGAUCGUGUUCAUAGAUGAUAUACUCAUCUAUUCUAGAAGCCAGUAAGAACACUGCCAACACCUCCGCCAAGUCUUGGAAAUGUUGAGGACAGAGAAACUUUACGCAAAAUUUUCCAAGUGCGAAUUUUUGAUUCGGAAAGUGGAUUUCGUAGGACAUGUAGUAAGCAAGGAGGGGAUACACGUGGAUCCUUCUAAGAUCAAGGCAAUAGAAAGUUACACGACACCAAGGACCCCUACAGAAAUCCGGCAAUUUUUGGGACUCGCCGGGUAUUACCUAAGGUUCAUACAUAACUUUUCGAAGAUUGCCAAAACACUUACCACCCUAACUCAGAAGAGUGUGACCUUCGACUGGGGAGAAAAACAAGACGCCGCGUUUCAAACGCUAAAGCGAGCCUUAUGUAGUGCGCCCAUCCUAACCUUGGCAGAAGGAACGGAGGACUUCGUGGCCUAUUGUGAUGCAUCAAACCAAGGACUUGGGUGUGUCCUGAUGCAACGAGGGAAGGUCAUCGCCUACGCCUCAAGGCAACUAAAGAUGCACGAAGUGAACUACACAACGCACGAUCAUGAGCAAGGAGCAGUCAUCUUCGCUCUAAAGAUAUGGAGGCACUAUCUCUACGGCAUGAAAUGUACGAUCUUCACCGACCAUAAAAGCCUCGAACAUAUCGUCAACCAGAAAGAACUCAACAUGAGACAAAGACGGUGGAUAGAACUACUAAAUGAUUAUGAAUGCCAGAUUCGAUAUCAUCCCGGAAAGGAUAACGUGGUGGCCGAUGCACUCAGCCGGAAGGAAUACUCGAGUCGCAGAGUAAAGUCUUUAACCAUGACAAUCCAUUCACACCUGUCCACACAAAUCAAGGAAGCACAGAUAGAAGCCUUAACAUCUAGAAAUGUGGCAGGAGAAGCCUAAAGGGGAAUGGAUAAGAAGUUUGAGGUCAAGAAUGAUGGAGUUCAUUACUUCAUGGAUCGGAUUUGGACGCCGAAGUUUGGCGGAUUCAGAGAUGUCGUCAUGAACGAAGCCCAGAAAACAGGAUACUCCAUACACCCCGAAUCCGAUAAGAUGUAUCUCGACCUCAAGAAAUUGUAUUGGUGGCCGAACAUGAAGGCCGAAAUUGCUACCUACAUGAGUAAAUGUCUGACGUGCGCCAAGGUCAAGGUAGAAUACCAAAAACCCUCGGGAUUAUUGCAACAACCAAAAAUACUCGAAUGGAAGUGGGAACGUAUAACCAUGGAUUUCAUAACCAAACUACCCAGAAAGGCAAGCGGACUCGACACUAUCUGAGUGAUUGUCGACAGGUUAACUAAAUCAGCGCACUUCCUACCGAUCAAAGAGAGGGAUAAAUUAGAGAAGAUAACUAGGACAUACCUAAGAGAAAUUGUACGACUACAUGGUGUGCCCAUAUUCAUUAUCUCAGACCGAGAUAGUAGGUUCACCUCAAGGUUCUGGCAGGCACUACAAAAAUCUCUAGGGACAAGAUUGAACAUGAGUACUGCUUAUCACCCACAAACCGACGGCCAGAGUGAGAGAACCAUACAAACCCUAGAAGAUAUGUUGAGGUCUUGUGUAAUCGAUUUUGGUAAGGCAUGGGACACACAUGUACCUUUGGUCGAGUUCUCGUACAAUAAUAGCUACCACACCAGUAUCAAAGCUGCCCCGUUCGAAGCCCUCUAUGGCCGCAAAUGCAGGUCGCCUCUGUGUUGGGCCGAAGUGGGGGACACACAGCUAGCAAAAGGACAAGCAACAGACAACGCGCUCACUGGACCAGAAAUCAUAAGAGAAACUACGGAGAAGAUUGUUCAGAUCCGGGAACGUCUAAAAGCAUCAAGAGACAGACAAAAGAGUUACGCGGAUAAAAGACGAAAACCCUUGGAAUUCCAGGUCGGAGAUCGAGUUCUACUAAAGGUCUUGCCCUGGAAGGGAUUAAUACGCUUCGGGAAGUGCGGGAAAUUGAACCCAAGAUACAUCGGACCAUUCGAGAUCCUUGCCAAGAUCGGCCCAGUGGCUUACAAACUUAGAUUACCUCAGGAGCUCCACAAUGUACACCGUACCUUUCACAUAUCAAACCUAAAGAAGUGCUUGUCCGAUGAGACCCUUGUCAUCCCUCUAGACGAAAUUGCAAUAAAUGCAAAUCUCCACUUUGUAGAGGAACCAAUAGAGAUCAUGGAUCAGCAAAUAAAAAGGACUAAACAAAGCCGCAUACCUAUUGUAAAGGUCCGCUGGAACGCCAAGCGAGGUCCUGAAUACACCUGGGAACGCGAGGAUCAGAUGAAACAAAAGUACCCGCAUCUUUUUCCUAACAUGUAAACUCUAUCUUAGAUUAAAUUUCGGGACGAAAUUCCUUUAACAGGGGAUGAUGUGACAACCCUAUAUUUUUCCAAAAGCAGUGUAACGCUCAAAAGUCAAAAACAACGAAAACUAUUUGGAAUCAACUAAAUUAACCUCAAAAAUAAAGUGUUCAAAUAUCUAAGUUGGGAUGCAUCAAAUAUUAAAUAUCGUGCCAAGGUUUCCAAAAACGUAAAGAACGUUCAAAACCGGGUUAUAUUGAAGAAAUUAUAAGCAAUCGUAUAUUUACGACACACCGUUAAAACGCUAUUUAACGUAAAAAGUGAAAUUUCAAUAAAAUGCAUUUUUGCCUUAAGUAUCUAAAUAAAAGAUAUAGAGUUCGUUAAUCUAUAAACAUACAUAAAAAGAUCGCCCAAAUUGGAUCUCGUAUGAAGAAGUUACGAAUUUCCUAAGUUUCGUAACAGUAGUAGAGGGCUAAAAACUCAAAUUGAAGAUUGAGUGUUAUUUAGCAAUUGCCACCUAAACGUAAGUUGAGGAUCUCCACAAAUGUAAUAAAAUGAUAAAAAGACAAACGAAAACCGACGUCGAAUAAGAAACUAUGAAUUUUUAACGGACUUUAGUAGUCCUGGCCUAUUAAAAAUAUAUCACUAAAAAUAAAGUCAAAACUAGCCGACGAAGUCUAAAUGAAAGUUGUAGAGCAUAAUCUCACCUGCGUGUGGAUAUAAAGAACGCGAAAAACGGAGCCCUUACGCGAAAGUUAUGGAAUUUAGAAAAUGGAAGACUGGAUUACGCCCUGUGUAAUCCAAAAUUACGCCCCGCGUACUAGACCCAGAGUCGAGUCCCAUCGGCUGCAACUCUAUGCUUAGCUAGAACGGAGUCAUAAGCCGUGACGCAUUUCUAUGACCCGCGUAACCGAAGUACACCCCGCGUACCGAGUACGCCCUGCGUACGCCGGUAGUACGCCCCGCGUACACGGAUCCUCCAGCCUAUAAAUAGAAGGUGUGAGCCACGGGUUUUUGCACACAUUCUCAAACUCUCAGUCACUCUCUCAUACUUUCAAGCUUCACCAUCCCGACGCCCUCGGUUUCCGUUCCCAAGCCCCCGACGAAAGAUCUACGUUACCGAGACCCCCGAAGAGCCCGAAGGCGCAACUUUCCGCGGUUGAAGUUCUGCUCAACUCUAGCCUUUCUCUCUUCAAACCAAACGAGUGAGUUCAUACCCCUACUUUUCAAUUCUUUUGAUGUUUUAGGGGGAAUACAAGUACAUUACAGGUCAAAGUAUUGUUUUAUAAACAUAAUUAUAAUAUCUAUCUUAUAGAGUAUCGAUACAAACAACUUUAUGUUUAAAGGGCUAUUAUAUCACCAAGUCAUUCUUACUAAAUGGAAACAUACCUUUUGAGAAACUAUAAUGAGUAUAGUUAACAAGUUAUUCAUACAUUUUACAUAUAUAUCUUGAAAAACGAAAUACUUUCAAAUGAAGUAAUGUCUUUCUUAUCGUAAAUCUGUUUAUACCAAGUAAUGUGAGAUAUUCAAACUUCAACGUACUCGUAUGUAUGCAUUUCAAGUCCUGUAUUAUAUACCAUAAUCUCUUGGAGGGAGAGCGUGAUACUUGUGUAUAGAUCUAUAUGGGAUUGACAACCUCGCACCUAAACUAUUAGCUAUAGCUAGACCGGCAGGUCUGGGGUGACAAAUGUCAUAACACUACAACACCUGAAGAAUGUUGUUAUAGGCAGUCAGUGUCAGUAGUAUGGUUAUAAAACUCACAUAAAACUAUAAAAACAAGUUUGAUUUACGAGAUUCAUAUAUGCAUUCAGUUUUCCACUUCCUUUUUAGCACAAAUUUUAUUAUUAUUAUUCAAGUAUGGAACAUACUAAUGCACUCCAACUUUGGAAACUUUUCAAACCAUUUAUAGAAAAUAUUGGAUUUUCUGAAAACCUCGUUCAUCGAUUUACUACUAAAAGGACAUACUUUUCAAUGUAAAACACUUAUGAACUCACCAACUUAAUUGUUGACACUUUUUCGAAACCACUUGUAUUUCUCAGUGAAUCUGUAAUACAGGUAACUACCAGCUUUUGAAGAAGGAACGCUAAGGAUGUUUUAUUAUUGAACAUUUUAUCAUCAUAUUGUAAUAUUCUUUUGCUAAUAUGUAUAACGCAACAAUAUACGUUUUCAUUAUAUAUAUGAUGGUUGUGUUACUUUCUUUACAAUAUUCAAUUGUUGUGAUACUACGUGAAGUCAUCCACCAUCGAAUGUUUCCGCCAUUCUGGUUUGGGGGUGUGACACAUGGCGAACUACUCGGCCGGAUAAACCCCUUCCCCAACAGCUCUUGAAGCUGCGAGGAUAACUCCUGCAUCUCCGGAGGUGCAAGGCGAUAUGGUGCCUUGGCGAUAGGCGCAACUCCGGGAACUAAUCCGAUUUCGAACUCUACCUGCCUCUCUGGAGGCACACCCGACAACUCCUCUGGAAACACAUCCAGAAACUCACGCACUAUCGGGAGCUCAUCAACCGACCUCGGUCUUUCUGAAUCAANCAUCACAUAUGCCACAAAUCCCCUACAUCCCUGUUGUAGACUCUGUCUCGCUCUGGUGGCCGAACAAAAUGCUGACCCCGAGCGUGUACCCUCGUCGUACACCGUAAGAACUCCCCCACUAGGGUCUCGAAUCGUCACCAAUUGACGCUUGCAAUCUAUCAUAGCUCCAUAUCGGCUCAGCCAAUCCAUACCCACUAUAACACACACGUCCCCUAUCGCGAUCGGACCUGAUCUAUCGGAAACUCCACACCGAAGAUCUCAAGGACACAUCCCCGAAUCAGAUCCGAAGCAUACACUGAUCGCUCAUUAGCUAUGGAAACUCACAGAGGCCGAUCCAUUGCCUCUUUACGGAUACUAAUAUGCUGACUAAAUGCUACGGAAACAAACGAGCGACUCGCACCCGAGUCAAAUAAUACCAACGCAGGCACAAAACUCACAAGAAAAGUACCUACGCAUACCAUCAUAUAAGCAUAAAACUCAACUCAAAUAAAUGAUGGAAAGAGAAUACAUACCAGCCACAACAUCGGGCGCCACGCGGACCUCCUCCGCAGUCAACUGGAAUGCUCUCCCACGAGCCUUCGGGGCCUCGACCUUCACCGGCCAAACCUCGGUAAUCCUAGCAGCAGGGGCAGAUCCCUGUGUUGAUCCCUGAAGAAGUUGCGGGCACUCGGCCUUCUGAUGGCCGGUCUGGCUGCAAUGAAACAAACCAAAAAUCCCUUUGGGAAAUCCCUCGCGAUAUGCUCCUCCUUCCCACACUUGUAGCAUACCCUAGCCCUGCACGUCCCCUCGUGACUCUUACCGCACUUCCCACAAGUGUGGACCUUCGCGCCCCCAGAUCUCGAAUCAGCGGGACUAGCCCACUUGGCUUCCGGCUGAGACUGAGCCGGCCGCCGAUCCACCCUCAGUGACUCGGCUCCUCCAUGGCCUGAGUCUCCAACUCGCUCUCCCUCUUCCGGGCAUUUCCUUGGAGCUCAACAAAUUUCUGAUAAGUCGAGUUCACGACGAUCUCCCGAAUAUCUCUCCUCAGCACACUCAGAUAGCGGCUCAUACGAGCCUGCUCAGAUGACACCUGCUCAGGGAAAAACAACCCCCUCUCAUGAAACUUCCUGGUGAUCACUGUUAUAGAAUCAGUACCCUGCUUGAGGGUCAAGAACUCCUGAAUCAACCGUUCCCUCUCUACUGGGGGAACAUACUCCUCUCUAAACAUAGCGGUGAACCUCUCCCAGGUCACCUUGGAAAUUUCAGUCAAAGUGAAGUUCGCCGUCACGAACUUCCAUCAAUCCUUCGCCCCCAGGCGGAGCUUGUUCAAGGCGAACCGAACCCUCAAGUGCUGUGGACAAGAGCACGUAUAGAAACAUCCCUCGAUGUCAGAGAUCCACCUCAUAGCGGCAUUUGGAUCCUCCGUCCCGCCGAAAUCUGGUGGUUCGUGUUGCUGAACUCCCGGAAAAACAACGAGUCACCUCCCUGAGGUCUGGCAGCAGCCACAGCAGCAAUAACAGCAGCUGCAGCAGCCUCAGUCAACGUUGCAUACCGCUCAUCAAAAGUCUCAAUCAACGUGGUCAUGAUGUCCCCAAACAUCUCAAGAAUCUCAGUCCGGAUGGCAGCAGCCACCUCCGCAUGAAUCAAUCGACGGAUCUCCUCGUCGCUGACACCACUGCUCUCAGGUGUGUGUCGGGUCCCAACCAUGAUGCCUCUAAAAUACAAUAAAAUUAUCAGAGACCCGACCGAGCACACACAAACAUGAUGACGCAAACCUACUUGUCCUCCGUUGUCCAAAAGAUUCUUACCAGGAAUGCCCACUGAUCUGUUGUCUUCAGUAGUACGCUCCCAAUACUACUGACCACACUGCAUCAGCAUUCACUCCAAGUACUCCUCCUUGGAUAUUGGAUUACAAGUACUCUAUCUUCAUGAGUUCCUAACUGAUAUCUACUCACUCACGAAGCAUCUCAGCAGCAAAAAUCUCCUGGGCUAAGGCAUCACAAAUCAAGCCACUCUAGUCCUAAUAUGUAUACCUAGCCUACUUUAGCAUGCAAACAUAACAUAUCUCAUAACACAUAAUGUAAGGGUACUUUUGGGGCAUUCACUGUUCGGGCGCUGGCUGAUCAUACACACGGCUCUGCUCUGUUUGUCUCAAAACUCUUUUUAUUCUUUUCAAAAAUUUUACUUUAUUAUCAAAAUUUUCCUCAAAUCCUCAGUUUGAGUUCAGAUACGCCCGAAGAUGCAUCCGAAUCCGUCAAACCAAGGAUCUUAUAACAACUUGUAACAACAUAAAUUUUCAAAACAAUUUUUCAUUUUUAAAACAUACACACACUCAUAAAAUAUUGUCAAAACAUAUUGUAUCAAUUGUUAUCAUCACAAAACAUCUCCCUAGAAUCUCAAACAUAAACUUCAUAAGUGUGUACGAAUCAUGUCGGCGCCUUUCCACGCUCAACACUAGUACCUGAAACACAUAACAAACAACUGCAAGCAUAAAUGCUUAGUGAGUUCCCCAAAAUACCACAUACGACAUAUACACCACUCGAGGCUAUAAUACGACCUUCUGGUCGAUGUGUCUCAGCGGUACCCUCCAGUCCCGUAGAUUUGUUGGGCCCUCCAGCCCGGUCUAAAUCAUUAGACCCUCUGGUCCGGUCUGUAUCGUUGGACCUUUCGGUCCGGUCAACACAAUCAUAUAGCAUACAAAUAUCACAUAGCACAUAGAUUCACAUAGUCUUAUAGAUAACACUUAAGACCCUCCGAUCCACAUAAAUACCACUCUAGGUAAUGUAUAAUGAGAAGGCUCACCUCGAAUAGCUCGGUAACUUGCAAUCUCUGAAAUCUCGGACUCCGUGGGAUAAGGCCUAGCCUCCGCCUAAUCAUAUGAAAUAAGUACUCGAUAUCAACACAUUUCCCAAGGGUAGACCAUCCCUUCUCUUAAUACUCUUAUGAGGGUAAAAGACCAUUUUACCCUUCACAUGGCUCAAAUACCCUAAUGUUGACCAAACCCUAAAAGUCAAUAAACGUCAACCCUUCGAGUUACAAUGCACGCACCAAACAUGUAGACUGGGCGUAACCGAUAACAUCAGAGGAUCGGGGUGUGCCACCCCCUACGCUGCGCGUAGUGGAAUUACGCCCGGCGUAAUACCCAGUUUCAGUCCUUCAGCUCUUGGGGUCUUAAAUAGUUAAGAGCCACGUCCAACUUUUAGAUCUGACAAUAUCUAACCCUCCAAAACCAUAAAGUAGAUGACUUUAAGCCCUUGCAUGGCUGAAUAAGUCACUAGAACCCAAAACAUCUCAUUAUCUAACCCUAGAAGGCAUAGAACUCAAGUAUGACCUCAUAUCAUCGACAUAAAUGGGGACUUUAUGGAUCUAGACCACAAAUACUAUAGAAAAGGGACAGAUCUUGGACCAUGGAGCACCUUACACUCAUAAAGUGUCCACCUUUGGGGGUUUUAAUCCUAGAAAUGGCACAUGCAACCACAACCAAAAAGAAGAGGAAAGUUUUGAACUUUAUACCUCUAAAUGCAACUCCUUUCAAUGUAGAUUUUAGAUCCAAGCUUACACUUCAAGCUUUUAGUCUCCACAAGCACCUUUCUUCCUUCUUCAAUAACACACCAAGGCACUAUUAGCUCCAAGAACACACACACUCACUAAGGAUGAUGAAAGGCUCUCUCUUAGGGUUUUACUCAUUGAUAUGGAGGCUGAGGAAUGAGCCUUAGCCUCCUUUAAAUAGUGCACAAGACUUAAUAGGGUUUUUCAUAUGGGGUGGGUAUGCCCGGCAUAACUAUGGGUACGUCCAACGUGUUGGAUAUAAUGUCUAAGUGCAUAACUUUAUUUGGUAUGUACUUGACCCGACCCGGCAUGGUCCAUUUGGGUUGCAUGGCAUUGCAAUACUUGGAUAGACUAAAUGAGAGAAUAUGGCACUUAUGAUUAUUAAUAUAUUAUAAGUUCUAAUAUAUUAAUAAUAGUGUUAUUUAAUUAGUAUUGAUCAAGUAUUAAUCUAGUAUUAAUUUGGUGAUCAAAGUGAGACUAAUUAAAUAUAUAGGGUUGAUUAUGACAAUCAUCAAUUCUUUUAUGGUGGAUUAAUGAUCCAUGGUUUAUGGGUUAUGGAUGUAACCAUUUGGAGCUCCAUGGAUAGUCCAUGGGAGUUACAAACCCAUGGGUCAUGAGAAAUGAAGAGUCAUGACAAUUAUGGGUCUUCUUAAUGAAACCCUAAUUGUGACACCACUAUAAAAGGAACCCUUUGGCUAGCAAAAUCGUGACCUAGUGUUACUAGAGAGGGCAUAACCGAUUUUGAGUGCUAGAAGUAUUCUCUCAAGUUAUUCCUAGUUUUGUGGUGUUGUGUGAAGCAUUUGAGGCACAACAUUUGGGGUGCUAGGCUCAAAAAGUCUUGAAGGAAUCCAAGCAACAUCAAAGUAUGUAUUUCUACUAGUUUUAUAUUUUAUUUAUUCCCCAUGCCAUGCUAGUUAGAAAAUAACCUUGAAAAAGAAAUUUGCAUGUAUAUAGAGAAAACAUAGAUUCAAGGUUAUUAGGGUUGCAUGUACACUUAGGAAGUGUUAGAAUGCUCAAAACCCAUCAGUGGUAUCAGAGCCUAGGAUUGUUUUCUGUAUACUUGAUGCAAAACUGCUUGAAAAUCGAAAAUUCUGCUCACUGUCGACUGGACUCGCCGAGUUCAUGGGGAGGACUCGCCGAGUCCAUGUACAAAUUCAUCCUACUCGUCGAGUAGGAUCAUGCACUCGACGAGUAGGUGCGUGCUGGGCAGUCUUUUCGUGUUUUGUUGCUGGAAAUGGAUUAAAAUCAUUAUCCCAAUCUGUUUUGGACUUGUAAAAUCUGUUUUUCAAAAUGAUAAUGAUUAUGUUAACCCAUUUUACAUGACUUUUAUCAAUUUUCAAGUAUUGUAUAUGUUUAUAUGAUUUCUUGAAAUUGCUUGACAUGAAUUUGUGUUCUUAUGAGUUUUUAGAAGAUCAUAGGAAUUAUGUGUAACCUCCAUGUGUGUUUAAUUCAUGAUCUUAAUGGCAAUGAUGGUGUUCAUAACUUGUCCUCAAGUUAUGGAUAACCAAAAGUCACUUCUUUAAAUUGUGAUUAAAGAACUAAAGAGGUUUCAUAAAAUGAAGAGUCUUCAUUUUUAUGAACCAUUAAAACUCAUAAGUUACAAAUUGAAGAGACUUGGAAUAGUUUCAAUUCUUGCCCUCAAGUUUUGGAAUUUGAAAAGUCUUACACUCUAAUACUUUAAUUCCAAAUUAAACCUUAGAUUUUUAAAAAGUUUAAAAAUCAACACUUAUACUAUUAUUAUAAUUUUAUUAUAUAGAUAUGUAUAAGAAUAUGUCAUUCUUACCGUUAGUAGGCCUCAUUCACGAAGCCGGUCUAUAAGGGGGGAUAAGGUUGUUGCCUAUAAAAUGGUGACUUAAUGGGUGUCCACUCUCACCCACCGCUUCCUUGAUCGGUGGAGGGUCGUUAGCCGAACGGGUAGGGUACGACUUUGAAUUCUCAUUAAAAGUAUAAUGAAUUAUAAAGUAACUAUACGUUAUAAAUUCCCAAUCUUAGUUACUUUAGGAAGAUGUGAAUUUGGUGCAAGCCCAUAAAAUUACACUUUGUACCUUACCAAGUCGUUAGUGGAGCGUAUGUUUUUUAAUCGGAACACUAACAUGGACUAGUAAGAGUGGCAAAGGGUAACUUGACUUUAUUAUAGAUCGGUGGAGCGUGUGUGGUUAACCGGCACAUCGAUUAGGUAAUAUUGUUAAGGGUACCAAGUCAAUUUGUAUGGUUAUUCACACCUUGUUUGUGAUCCUCGGCAUCCCAGUCACAAACUUGAGAGGGCACAUUCGAGAUUCAAACAUGCCAUUGAAAAGUUCAAUGUAUCUCAAAAGAUCUAGGAGUUUCAAAACCAAUAAAACCUAAUAAUAAAAUAUUUCGUCUUAUGGUGGAAAUUGGUAAAUCGUCAUUUACCUACCUUCAAAUAUUUUAUAGUGUGGAUUACGGCAUCCCUCUUCCACCUAUAAAUAGUUUGUUGGAUCCUAGCCUUAAUAUUUCAUUUGGGUGACUUAUUAAGGACUCUUAAUCUAAUGAAACUUAUCUUCCUUUUAUUCCAGAUGUCUUCCAAUAACGCUGCUGGCUCAAACCCGACAGGCUCCUUUUCCCUAAUGAACUUGUGUGGUAAGGUCAUCUUUGAUGGAUCCAACUUUAAUGAGUGGAUCAGAAACAUCAGGAUGAUUACCCGCUAUGAGGACAAAGAAUAUGUCCUUGAUAGGGAGCUUAAGGUUGUUAAUGAAGCCACUGCUACUCCAGAAGAGCUUGCGGAGUUCAUUGCACAUGAGAAGGAUGCCACCAAGGUGUCCUGCAUCAUGAUGGCCACAAUGACUCCGGAACUCCAAAAAUCUUAUGAAGAUUUCUACCCCUAUGAGAUGCACCUAGAUCUGAUGGAAAGGUACCAUCAGAGCGCGCGUCAAGAGAGGUAUGAAAUCAUUUCCUCCAUGAUAACCGCAAGGAUGAAGGAUGGUGAACCCAUCACCGGUCACUUGCAGAAGAUGCAGAGGUUCGUUGACCGGUUGCUAAAGCUCAAUGUUGACUUCCCUGAGGAAUUGGCGAUUGACAUCAUUCUCCAUUCCUUACCUCCAAGUUAUGAUCAGUUUCGUAUGACUUAUCAUAUGAACAAGGAGGAAGUCACACUUAGCAAACUUCAAGGACUCUUAAGGACAGCUGAAAAUGGCCUUAAGGGUAAAGCGGUUGCUACUUCUACUCCUUUAACAGCCCCUGUUCUUGCAAUUGGGCAAGGGAAGGGUAAGAAGAGGAAAAGCCCUUCAAAGGGUACCAAGGGUAAGACUCUUGAUGGUUCCUCUUCAAGUGGGACAAAGAAAGGUCCCAUUACUCCUUCUUCGAACCCAAAGGAAGCACAGUGCUUCUAUUGCCAAGAUAAGGGACACUUCAAGCGAAGCUGCGCCAAAUAUCUGCAAGAUGUAAAGGAUGGGAAGGUUAAACCCACCCAUGCAGGUAUUUACACAAUAUUGUCUAACAACUCAUCUAAUGCUAAUUCUUGGGUGCUUGAUACAGGGUGUGGUAUUCACAUUUGUACUGAUUUGCAGGCACUAAGAAGAAGUGAGCAAGUGGAGCACGGGAAGAUAAACUUAGUCAUGGGCAACAGGAAAGCAUCACCUGUUACCAAGAUAGGAGUUUAUUCUUUAUUGCUUAAUAAUGGGUUAAUGUUAGAUUUGAAUAAGUGUUGUUACUCGCCCGAAAUGGCGAGAAAUAUUAUUUCUUUUCAUGGCUUGUACAAACAAGGUUUUACAUUUUCAUUUGAUAAUAAAAAUGGUGCUAUUAAUGUUUAUUACAAUGAUGUAUUUUACUUUAAAGCAAUACCUUGUGAUGGUGUAUAUGAAGCUGUGAAUGUUGUAGACAAUUUAGGAAAUAAUGUGUUGUAUAUUGAUUCCUCUGAUAGCUUGGACAAAGGAUCCUUGUGGCAUUAUCGUUUUGGACAUGUUAACAAGAAGCGCAUAGGCCAACUCCAAAAGGCUGGAGUCUUGGAAUCAUUAGACCUCAAGUCAGAUGAUAGUUGCCAGUCUUGUUUACUUGGAAAAAUGACAAAGUCACCCUUCACAGGUACUUGUGAUAGGGGUGAAGGUUUGUUGGACCUUGUACACACGGAUGUGUGUGGGCCCUUCAGAGUUGCUACAAGGGAUGCUAAUCGUUAUUAUGUGACUUUUACUGAUGAUUACAGUAGAUAUGGAUAUAUUUACUUAAUCAAGCAUAAGUCAGAAACCUUUGAAAAGUUCAAAGAGUUUAAGCAGGAAGUUGAGAAUCAAUUGGGCAGGAACAUCAAGAUGCUCCGAUCCGAUCGGGGAGGAGAGGAUCUUAGCAUUGAGGUCCUUGACUAUCUUAAGGAAUGUGGGAUUGUCUCACAAUUGACACCUCCAGGAAACCACAGUUGAAUGGUGUAGCUGAGAGGCGCAAUCGAACCCUGUUAGAUAUGGUUCAUUCCAUGAUGAGUGGAGCUUCGUUACCAAUCUCUUGCUGGGGGUAUGCCUUAGAGACUGCCGCCCAUAUCCUUAAUCUAGUCCCUACUAAAAAGGUUGCCAAAACACCUCACGAGAUGUGGACUGGGAAAGUGCCCAAUUUGGACCACAUCAAGAUUUGGGGUUGUGAAGCUUUUGUGAGGCGUGAGACUCAUGACAAGCUUGAACCCCGAAGCGAGAGGUGUAUUUUCAUCGGCUACCCACAGAGAUCCUUUGGUUACCUCUUCUACAGACCCAGUGAUAAUGUGGUCUUUGUAGCAAGAAGAGGAGUCUUUCGUGAGAGAGAAUUCAUAAGCCAAGGGGACAGUGGGAGGCAAAUUGACCUUGAAGAGCUUCAAGAGUCAAGUGGUGAAGGAACCUCAAAUGCUGUCAGCCAACCUGAGGAGGAAACUCCUGUUGAGCCGAUAGAUGAGUCUGUACCUCCAAGACGUUCCACUAGGGUGAGGAACACACCUGAAUUUUAUUAUGGUUAUCACAUCACCACUGAAGGUGAUAUAUUUAUCAGUGAUAGUACACUGAUAGAUUUGGAUGAACCUAAUAAUUAUAAGGAAGCCAUGGCAGGCCCUAAGUCUGCGAAAUGGAAAGUGGCUAUGGAUAGCGAGAUUCAGUCCAUGUAUGACAAUCAAGUUUGAAACUUGGUUGACAAUGUACCAGGUCGUAAGACAGUUGCACGCAAAUGGAUCUUCAAGAAGAAGACCGACAUGGAUGGGAAAGUGCACACUUAUAAAGCGCGACUGGUUGCGAAGGGCUUUACUCAAACUCCGGGAGUUGACUAUGAUGAGACCUUCUCACCAGUAUCUAAGAUUAGGUCUAUUAGAGUUUUAUUAGCCAUAGUUGCAUUUCAUGAUUAUGAAAUAUGGCAAAUGGAUGUCAAAACCGCUUUCCUUAAUGGGAAGUUGGUUGAGGAUGUUUACAUGGCUCAGCCAGAGGGUUUUGUCGAUCCAAAAUACCCUAAUAGAGUGUGUAAGCUUGAAAAAUCCAUUUAUGGAUUGAAACAAGCAUCUCGCAGGUGGAAUCUUUGCUUUGAUGAGAAAGUCAAAGAGUUUGGCUUUUCUAGGAGUGAGGAUGAGUCUUGUGUGUAUGUCAGGGCUAGUGGGAGCAUAGUUAGCUUCUUGGUGUUGUAUGUGGAUGACAUACUUCUCAUAGGAAACGACAUCCCAACUUUGCAGGAGGUUAAGGCCUGGCUUGGGAAGUGUUUUGCUAUGAAAGAACUUGGGGAAGCUGCCUAUAUCCUAGGGAUAAGGAUAUUGAGAGAUAGGAGUAAGAGACUAAUUGGACUUAGUCAAAGUACUUAUGUGGAUAAGGUACUAAAGAGGUUCAAUAUGUAAGAUUCUAAGAAAGGAGAAUUACCAAUCCAGAGUAAUGCGAAGCUAAGUAAGACUCAGAGUCCGAGCACAGAGGCUGAGAUAUCAGAAAUGAGUCGAGUACUUUAUGCUUCGGCAGUAGGCUCGAUCNAAGACUCAGAGUCCGAGUACAGAGGCUGAGAUAGCUGAAAUGAGUCAGAUACCAUAUGCUUCCGCUGUGGGCUCGAUCAUGUAUGCUAUGACUUGUACUCGCCCUGAUGUGGCCUUUGCUUUGAGCAUGGUCAGUAGAUAUCAAGGGAACCCUGGCAAGGCACACUGGACAGCGGUAAAGAACAUUCUCAAGUAUUUGCGGAGGACUAAGGACUGGGUCCUUACCCUCGGAGGCAGUGAUGACUUGAGAGUGGAAGGAUAUAGUGAUGCUAGCUUUCAAACUGAUAGGGAUAAUUUCCGCUCUCAGUCAGGCUGGGUCUUUAUCCUAAAUGGAGGAGCAAUUACUUGGAAAAGUUCCAAGCAGGAGACAGUAGCUGAUUCGACUUGUGAAUCAGAGUACAUAGCAGCAAGCGAGGCAGCAAAAGAGGCGAUAUGGCUGAAGAACUUCAUCGGAGACCUUGGAGUUGUACCAGCUAUAAAGGAGCCAAUGGAAAUUUUCUGUGACAGUGAAAGUGCGGUUGCUUUGGCGAAAGAACCAAGAGAUCACGGGAGAUCUAGGCACAUUGACAGAAAAUACCAUUUCAUCAGACAUAGAAUAGAAGAAGGACUCCUCGUGGCAAAGAGGGUAUCAUCAGAUGAGAACCCGGCAGAUCCCCUCACGAAGGGACUGAGCAGGGUUAAGCAUUUACAGCAUGCAAGGCGCAUUGGGCUGAAGGAUGAUAUUAGUUUCAAUAAUUAGAUUCCUGAAACUUGUAAAAUGUAAUUGACAUUUGAUGAUAAAUAAAAGUUGUUAUUUAUUUAUGAGUAAGGUGUUACUAUCUUGUGUUGAUUGUUUACUAUGUUUCAAUUUUGUAUGUUUCUACUUCCAGAAUAAUCAUGUUAUUAGUCAAACCAUCCACAGUCAGUCAAACUUUGGAAGUAAGUAUUGAUUUAAGACUGUCAUGAAUUUGGCUUGUAUGAUUUGUCUAAAGUGCUUUAGACAAUGCAAUGGUUGCUACAACAUUCAUGAGUACUCAUAAGGGCUGAGUAUUGGAUUCAACCCACACUCACUUGCAUCACUUCAUGGAAUCUAUCUCGAGUCAUCGUGAGACAGUAAUAUCAUAUAAAUCUUCAAACCUAGAGAUAUGAGUUGUUGACCAUGAGUUGGUUAUUCAUUGAUUGUACGAAAACGCAUUGGUAACUCGAUGUUAUAAAACGUGCCUUUGUGAGUAAUUCAACAAGUAGUUAGUAUAAGCAUAUCAGUUGAAGUUUAUCUGUUCCAUCUAGAAAUAGAAGCGAUAUCUAGGCCCCUCGAUGAUUUGGUUUUAACCUGUGUUCCGGGCCCGGUCAGAACCUAAUUGAUGUGUUCAAUUUAGUUCUAUUUCGAAACAAAUCGGAGAUCGAGAAACAAAUGUUGGACAAUAAGUAAGACCAUGUUCCAUGUGUUUGUCCAGCUGAUAUCAUGAGAGAAAAGGAUUGUAUGAUCACUUAUCUUAAAUGGCGUAUCAUCAACAUCUUAGUUCCGAGAGACUUUGAAAGAGCUACGAUUUCUAGUCAGAUAUUGAAGUCAUAUUUGCAAAUAUAGUUAUUAGACUUAUCCAAGUGGGAGACUGUUGGAUAUAGUGUCUAAGUCCAUAACUUUAUUUGGUAUGUACUUGACCCGACCCGGCAUGGUCCAUUUGGGUUGCAUGGCAUUGCAAUACUUGGAUAGACUAAAUGAGAGAAUAUGGCACUUAUGAUUAUUAAUAUACUAUAAGUUCUAAUAUAUUAAUAAUAGUGUUAUUUAAGUAGUAUUGAUCAAGUAUUAAUUUGGUGAUCAAAGUGAGACUAAUUAAAUCUAGAGGGUUGAUUAUGACAAUCAUCAAUUCUUUUACGGUGGAUUAAUGAUCCAUGGUUUAUGGGUUAUGGAUGUAACCAUUUGGAGCUCCAUGGAUAGUUCAUGGGAGUUACAAAACCAUGGGUCAUGAGAAAUGAUGAGUCAUGACAAUUAUAGGUCUUCUUAAUGAAACCCUAAUUGUGACACCACUAUAAAAGGAACCCUUUGGCUAGCAAAAUGGUGACCUAGUGUUACUGGAGAGGGCAUAACCGAUUUUGAGUGCUAGAAGUAUUCUCUCAAGUUAUUCCAAGUUUUGUGGUGUUGUGUGAAGCAUUUGAGGCACAACAUUUGGGGUGCUAGGCUCCCAAAGUCUUGAAGGAAUCCAAGCAACAUCAAGGUAUGUAUUUCUACUAGUUUUAUAUUUUAUUAUUCCCCAUGCCAUGCUAGUUAGGAAAUAACAUUGAAAAAGAAAUUUGCAUGUAUAUAGAGGAAACAUAGAUUCAAGUUUAUUAGAGUUGCAUGUACACUUAGGAAGUGUUAGAAUGCUCAAAACCCGUCACAGCGUACCUAGCGACUCCGCGUCCAAAAUAAGCGCAUGAGUACGCACAGCGUACCCCUCUGGUAUGCCUAGCGUACUCACUUGCAAGGUUUUCUCCACUCAAGGACCCAAUCAUGAACAAUUGACAAAAAACAAGGGUGAAAGAAAUGCACCUGAAUCUCCGGGUGUUACAGUGGAAUGGCCAUGUCAAGUAACUAACACUUACAAUGGCUAACUUAAUGGGCUGGGAGAACCUAUAAGCACCGAUGAUGGAGGAGUACUGCCCAAGGGAUGAAGUAAAAAAGCUAGAACAAGAGCUUUGGAGCCUUAUCAUGACAUGCUCUAACAUCGUGGCCUACACUAAUAGAUUUAGUCACCUAGCAACACUAUGCCCCGGGAUGGUCACCCCGGAAAGUUAGAAAGUGGAAACGUACAUCUGGGGACUAUCUCCUCAGAACCAAGGAAACGUGAUACUACAGGUCCACCCACUUUCGAUAGUGCCAAGCAUCUGGCUCAAACGCUCAUGGACCAUGGAGUCCUCCAAGGCAUGAUGGCCCCUGUUCCUGAGACAUCCAAAGGGAGUGAAUAUAAGAGAAAGUCUUGGAGCAAGAAAAAGGGACAUCCAACACAACAACCCUAGAAGAAACAACAGGUUGUUGGUGUUCAUGUUGCCACGACCCCUGUCACUUCGGCACCCGCUAGUCGUUACUCUGGAAACGUUUCAAAGUGAAACAAGUGUAACUUCCAUCACACCGGAGUUUGUCGAGACAUGCAUUGCAGAAAUUACAACAGGAAAGGGCUCACUGCCCGUUUCUAUAGGGCACUGGCGCAACCCCUCACCCAAGUCCCCGGCAUUGGAGUAAACCCGGCUUGUUACAUGUGCGGUGAAACAUGACACUUCAAGAGAUAUUGUCCAAGAGCAAGGAAUAUUCGUAGUGAUGGAAGUGUACUGAUGAUCACCGCAGGAGAGACUCUCGUGAACCCGCCUGUGAAUAAUGGUACGGUUUCAAAUAAAAUUAUUUAAAGCUUAAAUGUUACUAAAACUGGUGACAAUUAAAUCGUAAGCAUAAAUUUACUCCCAUCCGAAUAAAUUGCAUCGUUGAUAAAAAAACUAAGAAUCCUGGCAGGUGGUCUAUGAUGGCUUAGUGUAAACAUUAGGGUCAUAUAUAAUUAUGAUUCUACAGGCUUAGAGUGAGUGAUUCCGCCUUAUCUCCUGUUCCUUGUCUGGUUGUGGAUUUAGUGUGGAGUAAGUCAGUCGAUUGUCUUCUCAAUCUUAAUUAUAUACGACUUGUAUACACUAAGCGAUUAUAGAGGGACUUGGUAGGGAUCAUAUUACAAUAUUUCAUCACUAAUUAUCAGAACACUCUUACUGUUUGGGCUCACUAAAUGCGGUACAAAAUCAUUCGCAGUAGUAACUAUAAGGGUAGAACGAAAGGCACUAAAAACAUAUACAUAGAAUACACCAUCACUCUAAACAAUCACUCCUUCCAAAUCGACUUAACACCUUUUACCAUAAGAAGAUCCGACAUCAUCAUUUGACAUGGAUUGGCUUGGUCCUCACCACACCAAUAUCGUGUGCUUCGAAAAGACCCUUCGCCUUAACCGGCCAACUAACAAAAUCCUUUCAAUCUAUAACGACAAACCCGACACAAACCUUUGUAUCAUCUCUCGCUUCAAAACUCAUAGGUACCCAUGGAAGGGGUACCAUUCCUUCCUAUCCCACUCCGUAGACAACAAAAUUGAAGCGAAAAACAUCGAGGAUGUUUCAGAUGUUUUUGUAACCUUCCUGAAGUAUUCCCAGCAGACCUCACGGGAAUAUCGCUCAUACAGCAAGUCAAGUUCAGGAUUAGAGACUAAGGACCCAUGCAACUAACCUUUCACCACUAGGUGUAUACGCGAGGGUGGUAUAUAAUUAAGAUUCUACGGACUUAGGAUGUGUGAUUUCGCCCUACCUCCUAUUCUUUGUCUGGUUGUGGACUUGGAGUAGAGCCAUGUUGAGUCUAGUGGAUUGCAUCAUGGGCUCGGUUCAUAGCCUAGUUUAGUUGCCGGUAUUAGGCCUGUCCAGCCGUGCAUAAUUUUGUAUUAGGGUUUAAGUAUAUAAGCUGCAUGCAUGCAGACUUAGUAAGUAGCGCUUUCCUUGUUUUUGUAUUCAUUAAUUUCGUAAACCCUAGCUCGCCUCUACAGCGGAAGUUCUUCAUCGAGCUCUGCUGAGGCGUGACUCAUUUUUGAAUCAUAAGCUCUUAUUUGAUUCUGAUCUGUGCUCGUUUAUAAUUUAUUCUUGUCUUUUAUAAUUCUUUUAUCGUACUUGUGAAAGAUAUAAACGAUCUAAGAGUUUUGAACUCAUCAAUUGGUAUCAGAGCAGGAGACUGUGUAAUCCAUACACACCUCUUCUGUCGAAGAAGUUCAUAGGGUUUUUAUUCCGCAUUGAUUGAUAUUUAUUGAGCCAUCAUUCCUUAUUGGCGUAUCUCAUUAAUUGUUAAUCUAACCCUAAUCGAUAUAUUACAAAUUUGAUCUUUUAUAGGUUUUCGAUCAAAAGUACUCACAAUGUCUAUGGACGAUUCUCAAACCAAUCCGAUAAAUAUCUCAAACAGCAUAGGGUCUACAACAAGAAUACCGAUCUUGUAUACGCAAGACUAUGAAGUCUGGAUGCAUCACUUUGAAGACUACAUGAUUGGAUCGGAGGAUAAUGGGUAUCUAAUCUGGGAAGCUAUCACUUCAGGCCCAUUCGCUCAUUCUAGCACGUCAAAGAUUGUUAAAACGCAGAAAGAAUACAAUCAGCUUGUUAAUGACGUCAAAGACAUCCCUCAGGAUGAAAAAGAGAUGUUCCAAUAGAAUAUCAAAGCUCUCAGGAUGAUACGGUUUGUGCUACAAUCGGAUACAUUUCGAUUGGUAAGUUCCUGUGCUACAGCCAAGGAGAUCUGAGAUAGAUUGAAGGAAUUGUAUUCCAGUGAUGAAGAUCUGGAACACUCUAUUCAAACCCUCUUGUUGUCAGAGUUUGGUGAUUUUAAGAAAAAGCCUGAAGAAAAAGCUUAUCCAAACUUUCGAUCGUUUCAAUCAUCUUUUGAGCAAGAUGAUAAAGCAUGGUAUUGAAAGAAAAGUGAUUGAACAAAACGUCACUUUCAUGAAUAGUCUCGGACCUGAAUGGAUGGCCGUUGUGUCAACUGUCAAAGCUCAUGAACAGUUCAAGUCGUACUCUUUGGAAAAACUUGUGGGUAUUUUAAAAUCCCAUGAGAAUGCCUUAUCAAAGGAAACGAAUGUUGUUUCGGGUCUUGGUUCUAUGGCUCUUGUCUCCAAAGGAAAGAGCUCGAUUGAAGAAGAAGAGGAAUUAGAUCUUGCUGACUUUGAUCUAACCGGCGAAGAAUAUGCAAUGAUGGUGUCAAACCCCAGAAAAUUCAUUAAGAAGAAAUUCCCCUCCAACAAAAACCGAAAUUGGCUCGGAAGUUAUAACGUUGAACGGGUCAAGGAGGAACCGAAGAUGGGAUCAAAAUCUAAAGAGUCUAUGAAGGAAGCUAAAAUUGGAGGCGACUCAGGAUUUGAUUGCCAUUACUCUGGAGGCAAAAAUCAUUUUGCGAAAGACUGCAUGCUGAGAAAGAAGGAAUAGAAGACAGGAGAAGAUGAUGAGGAAGCGAGCCUCCUGAGAAGAUUGGAGGAAAUAAAGAAAAGAAAGUCUGAUGUUAAUAACUCUACUAUGAAUGCUUUAAUUGUGCAGGGUUCAACCAACAGUGAUGAGUUUGGAGGUGUGGAAGUCUGUUCUACAGACUCUGAGGAUGAUGAAGUUAGGAAGCCAACUCAUGGAAAAGCAAUGAUAGCAAAAUCAGAACAGUCAAUGGGAAGAUGUUUUGCAGUGACCGAGGGUGUGUCCCAAAUGAGAGGAUACACAAUAGAUGGGGGAGUUGAAGAAGAAAGAGAGCGAGAGGACAGAUGUUUCGCUGCCAAGCCUGUAGUGCUCAGAUCAAUGAAUGCGAUGAGUUGAUCAAAAUGGUACAAGAUAUUCUUGCUUCUCUAAAAUUACCUGCUAAUAAUUAUGAAAAGGAAUUAAAUAAUUUGAAGUCGAAAUUCUCUAGCAUAAGUAGCAGUCUCACCCAAACCCGUGUCACCAAUUCUAACCUAACUGAUCAAAUCAGUAGGAUUUCUUCAAAGAGUGAAGAACAAAGAAUGUGGAUCGAGCAAAAGGAAAAGGAAUUAAUUAGAUCAAACGAUGAUUCUAUUUAUUUGCAAAGAGACAAUCUUAAACUUCUCAAACAAAGAAACAUUUUUUGUUUAAUUGCUAAGAGGCUUUAUUUUAACAUUACUCAGUUGCAUCUUGAUUGUAAAAUAGGGAAGAAAAUUCAUCGUAUGAUUUUACCUUUCCUUGAAUUAAAGGAGGAUGAAAUCGAUGCAGAAGCAUACAACUGUGAAAGUGUUGUGUCCUCUAACGAAGUGUCUCUAGCAUAUAAGAUUGGUCUGGACAAAAUUUAAUCUUACAUAAAGUCCAAGGACCACAAGGACAUGCUCAAAAAUCUACUAGAUGAAAAUGACAAAUUGAAACUGAGAGCCGAAACUAUACAAAAAUUUGACUCAUUGAAUGCCAAUUUAAGUUUAGAUAACAAAAUUGAUAUUGAAAAUACAUCUGAACUUAAUGAGGUCGAUGAUAUGAGUGAAAUUUCUGUAGAAGAUUUGGUAGAUUGUUCCGAAUUAGCCAAGAAUGAACCAAAGUCCAUUAAAAACCUCAUUUCUGAAAACUCUGUUGAGUUUGCUCGUUCCACUACCGACAAGUCCAAAACUCUCAAAGCUAAAGCUGUGGUGUACCAAAAGGUUCAAACUACUCCAAAUCAGGUUUACACUGUGUCGGUGGUCACUCCACAACAAACUGCAGAGUUCACUACGAUGGUAGAAGAAGACAAUGUUAGUGGAUGUGAUGAAUACUUUUGGUCUGCCCCAAUCGACAACGCAGACAAGACGAAGGGUCUCUCUCAGAAAACCUCAUGGAGAGUGAAAGGUAGAUAUAUACCCGAACCACUGAAUGAGCCAACAAAGUAUGAUGUGCCUAGGACAAGUGGAACUAAACCAUAUGUGGAUGAACCGACGCAAACUACGAGUGACACUAAAAGAAAGGCCAACAUUCAUAGAAAUCCCAAACAGGUCGCCGAUCGAAAGCAUCAAUGUAACGUAAGAUACAAGAAGAAUCUCUCCGAAAGAAAACCAUUUUGGAAUUCUCAAAAUCCUGACUUUGUAAGGAUUGAAAGAAAGUCUAAACUGGAGGAAAACUCAAAGAACCAGAAGCGCAGUUACGACAGGAACCAAAAGAGCAGCUUCGGUCCUUCAAGAGAUUGGAACCAAAAGGGUGGUUUCGGUCCAUCACCCAUCAACAACCGAAAGGGUGGCUUUGGUCCAUCACCCAUCAACAACCGAAAGGGGGUUUCGGUCCAUCACCCAUCAACAACCGAAAAGGUGGUUUCGAUCCAUCACCCAUUCACAACCGAAGGGGUGGUUUCGGUUCAUCUUCCAACAACAACCGAAGGGAGAGUUUCGGUCCCUCAUCCUUGGACAACCGAAAGGGAAGUUUCGGUUCCCCAUCCAACUCCAACCGAAAGAAAAGUUUUAGUCCUCAAGCCUACAAGCCAGAUCUUAAUAAUCAAGAACCUAACGUCGCUCCUAAUUCUAAAUAUCUAAAUUCUAGUCCUUCUGUCAAAAACUCUUGUUCUCCUAAGUCGACAAAAAUUAAAGUUUUCACCAUUAAAAGAAAAGAUGAAACCACUUUAAUUAAACGCACAUAUAUGGUUGACAUUUCUCUUACUAUACCAUGUCCUGUAAAAGGCUCACAAGGACCCAUGAAACUUUGGGUUCCUAAAUCUGCUUAAUCUUUUGCAGGUUAUACGUGACGAUCAGUUUGACGAAGAAUGGUACAUUGACAGUGGCUGCUCAUGUCACAUUAAAGGAAGAAAGGAGGAACUAAGGGAGUUUCGCUCUUUAAAAGAUGGUGGCAUUGUAAAGUAUGGCAACAACUCAUUUGGACCUAUUAAAGGCCAUGGAAUGAUCACUAAUGGCGAAUUCUCCAUAAGGAAGGUAGCAUACGUUGAAGGACUUCAACACAAUCUAAUCAGUGUAUCACAGCUGGUGGUUGGUACCGGGUUGAAAGUAUCUUUCGACGAUGAAGGCUCAGAAAUUUUCGAGAAGAAGUCAAGCAACGUUCUAUUAAGAUCCAAGCGAAAAGGAGAAAUGUAUCCAGUGAACCUCAAUCCAAUACGAGGUAAACCUGCAAUCUGCUUACUCUCAAAGGCACACUCCGACAAAAGUUGGCUAUGGCACAGAAGACUCUCACACCUGAACUUCAAGGACAUCAACAAAUUAGUUUUCGGUGAUCAUGUUCGAGGUCUGCCAGUUCCGAAAUUCAAUAAAGAACAUCUUUGUGCAACAUGUGAAAUGGGAAAGCAGAGUCGACAGAGCCAUCCCUCAAUAAUCAACACCAAAGUAAUAGAACGAUUGGAGUUACUGCAUAUUUAUCUAUGUGGUCCAUCAUCCAUCGAAAGCAUUGGAGGAAACAAAUAUAUUCUGGUUAUAGUAGACGAUUUCUCAAGAUUCACAUGGACCAUCUUUCUCAAGCAAAAGUCUGAAGCUGUAACAAAGCUCAAGCUCUUCAUUAAACUGAUUGAAACGCAAUUCAGAAAGAUUGUUCGAAAUGUAAGGAGCGAUAAAGGCCUAGAAUUCAAAAACAAAGAUUUUGAAAGUUUUCUUGCUGGAAAGGGGACAACUUGCAAUUUCUCAACCCCCUAUACUCCACAACAAAACAACAUUGUUGAAAGGAGAAAUCAAUCCUUGUGUGAAGCUGUUCGUACCAUAUUUUGCUUCGCAUCCUUGCCAUUAUACUUCUGGGCUGAUGCAAUUGCGGCUGCAUGCUCUGCCCAUAAUCGAUCUUACUUGAAUAAACGGUUCUCCAUUACUCCUUAUGAGAUUUUGAACAAUUGAAAACCAAACGUGAAAUUUUUUCAUGUGUUCGGUUCUAGAUGCUUCAUUUUCAACUCCAAGGAGAAUCGAAACAAGCUCGAUGCCAAGGCAGAUGAAGGAAUUUUCUUAGGCUACUCCUUGAACUCCAAGGCAUAUAGACUUCUCAAUAAACGCUCGAAGAAAAUUGAAGAAACAUACUAUGUCACCUUUGACGAUAGUUAUGUUAAGAAGUUAAGAGCAACCAAAGAUGCAUCACAAGACAUAUUUCCAAAGAUGGUCAGGUUACUAUUUCCAUCUCAAAUCUUUUCAAUCAAUUCAUGCUCUUGUUUGAUGAGCCUCAGAAAACAAUUGACUUAGAAUCAACUGCAAAAGACAACAAAGUUGACAACUUAAAACAAGUUGUAGAUGAUGCUGCUAGAAAAAUGGAAGAUGAUCAAUCCAAAGGAACCAAAAGUACGGAUGGAAGCAAACCUUCUGGUGACCAUCCUACUGUCGAGGGGGAGGGUUCUUCUCCUCAUCAUGAUCAAGGUUCUUCGUUCCAAGGGGAGAACUCAUCGCCAAAUACAACAGCCUCCACUUAAAUUCCAACCAAUGAAGGAGGUACAAAUGCUUGUCCUGAACAGGAAUCAUUCUUCGAGGGAGAGAAAACAAUUAGUGAAGAUGACAACUUGUCUGAACUCAAAGAAGAAAUCAAUGCUGAAUUGGAUCCCAUCUAUGAUUCAAAGUUUCCUCCACUUGUGAAAUGGACCAAAGAUCAUCCCCAGACUCAAAUUAUUGGGCAAUCCUCUGAAAAGGUGUUGACACGAUCUCAAAUCAAAGCGAAACAGGCUGCUCUAUUUUCAAAGGUCGAGUUUUGUAUGUUCAAUUCAUUCGUGUCCAAAAUCGAGCCAAAGACUGUUAAUUCGGCUCUUGAUCAUUCAGAUCGGGUUUAAGCCAUGCAGGAUGAGCUAAAUGAGUUUGAAAGAAACAAGGUAUGGCGUCUUAUUCCAACACCAAAGGAUGCUUCGGUUUUCGGUCUCAAAUGGGUGUUCAGAAACAAGAUGGACAAAGAAGGAAAUGUUAUUCGUAAUAAAGCUAGGCUAGUAGUCAAAGGAUAUUGUCAGGAAGAGGGAAUCGAUAAUGAAGAAACCUUCGCUCCAGUAGACCCGAUAUCUUGUUCUCUGUCUGUUAUUAUGCUCGAUUUCAGGCCAACCAAUGAGAACCUCAUCUUCAAGCAGUGAAGAACAUCUUUCGCAAUCUAAAGCGAACUUCCUCUCUAGGUCUAUGGUAUCCAGCCAACUCUGGAUUCUUCAUGCAAGCAUUUUCAGAUGCUGAUCUGGGUGGCUGUGGAUUGGAUCGAAAAAGUACCACAGGAGGAUGCCAAUUUCUAGAUGGAAAAUUAGUCAGUUGGAAAUCAAAGAAACAAACUUGUGUUUCGUUAUCCAUUGCAGAAGCCGAAUACAUUGUUGCGACUUCUUGUACAUCUCAAGUAGUAUGGAUACAGAGUCAACUUCGGGAUUAUGGCUUAUACAUGAAAAAAAAUCCCCCUAUACUGUGACUCUGAAAGCACAAUUAGAAUUUGUCACAACCCAGGGCAACAUUCGAAGACAAAGCAUAUCGCAUUGAGAUACCAUUUCAUCAAGGAUCACGUCGAAGAUGGCAAUGUAGAAAUGCACUUCGUAAGAACGACUGAUCAACUGGCAGACAUUUUCACAAAGGCUUUACUUGAAGCAAGCUUCAAUAAAAUCUUACAAGGCCUAGGAAUGAUGCAAGUCUAGUCAGUACCAAAAUCGCCUUCGCUCUCUUAAAGGUAACAAGCGAAAUAGAGCGAACCUAUAUGAACCGAAAUGAACCGAGCGUUCGGUCUAUUUAGGGUUCGAUCCAUUUCGGGUUCGGUCUAUUUCGGGUGAAGUUGGUCCAUGAACCGAAAUGAACCGAGCGUUCGGUCUAUUUCGGGUUCGGUCCUUCUGAACUUGUUCAUUUUUUAGGCAUUUUCAAGUGUUUACUUAUGUACAUCUUUUCUCUAUUUUUUUUCUCUCUUAUAAAAUUCCUAAAAUAUUUUUUCUUUAAAAACUCUUAAGAAAUCCAAAAAAAAAUAUUUUUUUUUUUAUCUCAAUGGCAUUGCUAAGACAAGCAAAUAGUUUUCCUAGUUAGGAGUCCCUAGAAGCAUGUUGUUGUAUGUUGACUAAAGCCUCGAUAGAUUUUGAGUGAAGCCUUAAUAACAUGAUAUAUACCAAUCAUGUUUUCCCAAUCCAGACUAUGUGAUUCACUCUAAUCAUGAGCUACCUUACUCUACUCACAUUGAGCUUAGAGUUUUCUACUUGGUCCUUCUUUUCUUUAAUACAGAGGUACUUUCUCUUCUUCUACCAUCUCUAUCAUCUUCUCCAUUAUAAUUCGUUUCAUCAAUAUAACCCUUGAGACUCUCAGUCUUAGCCACUGAGGUUUAUGGUUAUACAAAAUCUGCGUUCAUGAUCUUAGUUUCAUGCCACUAUGUACUAAGUGAAACCCAAAAUUCAACACUAUUAACGAAUUGACGGUGAAUUCAAUAAUUCAAGAUAUUACUUGUUACCCAAUGAAAUCUCUUUUUCCUUUUGAGUAAUCUUUAUGAGAUUGCCUUUCACCAAGGUGUCUCUAACCCUAAAAGAUACAGUUUAUUUUUUUUUUUGAGAUUUCUUAAACUCAGUUGUCACUAUAAAUUAUUUCUCAUCUACUUGUUCAACAGGUCACAAUGAUCUCACAAGUACUUCGUUCUAUUUUGAUCUUAUGUUAAGUAUCAAAAUUAUGAAAUGAAGUGAAAGACACCCACUUUACCCCUUAAAAAGAAGCCUUUCAAAACUUCUGAACAAGUUAUUGAUAGUUAUUUCAUUGGAAACCAAGCAAGCACUUCAAUGUCUCUCUUGACUUUGAAGGAAGUGAUUUUUGCCCAGAAUCAAUUGCUUUAUGUCUAUACACGACAUCACAGUCAAUCACCAAAUACUUGUUCUAUUUCUUUAUCUUUUACACUCAAUUUUCCAGAAUUCUAAGUUUUACACAGAUUAUCAAGAUACAACUACUCAAGCGUUAUCUGGUGAAACAAUUAGGUUGAAAUGGUCGCUGACUCAGUAGAAAUUCAAACGGUUUGGCGAUUUGAAAAAGGUGAGUUUUUAUCAAAAGGCGUGAAAAAGGGGAAACGUUUUUCUCUCUCCUGCAUCACCUUUGGCAUGCCAACUGUUCCCACAUCAAGCCAGGCGCGUUUUUAGAGAUAAUCCAGGAUUUCAGCCGGAUUCUUCUCUCUCAACCCUGUACGUAUAAAAGGAAUUGGAACGGUACUCUCUCAACCUUUAUCACUUCCAAAAAGCUCUCAAAGAAACCCGACUAUUUUCUUCACUCUUCAUCAACAUUCCCAUGCUUCUACAAUGGCAGAAUCUUCAUUUGUUCUUGAUACCUCAGUUCGUCAACCCCUCCUCACAAUAAAACCCCAACAAAACCUAAUCAUCGAUCUCACUCCCUUCGUUUAUGAGCCGUAUAUGCUUUAUGUGGUUGAGUGUCUUAAAUACUCACCUCUUGUAGAUGCCCUGACAAAGGUUGAAAUUGUGCCAAUGUCGUUCUUAUCUCGUGUCUACUCCACGGCGUUCUACGAUAAAGCCAAUGAGCGUAUCCACUUCGAGCUUCACAAUGUGAAGUUCUCUAUCUCCAAAAGCAGAUUAUGUGCCCUAAUCGGUCUCUCACAAGACCCGUCUCUGGUAAACCCUGACUCCAUUACCACUGGCCAACUGUUCACCAUGUUUUAUCAGAUGGGGUAUACUGAAACCCUAACAACCGUCACAAAGUUCAAGAAGUCCUGGCUUCCUCCUCAAUGGAAUGGCCUACUCACACUCUUGUUCAAGGGUUCAUCUGAGCGAAGUGCUGGUACUGACGGUGCUAGCAAGGCCUUCAUGACGGUGUUGUAUGGGUUGUACAGCGGGCUUAAUCUUGACUAUGGGUCUAUCAUUUGGCAGCAACUGGUUCAAAGUUUACUUUCUUCAUCAAAGCACUCCGAAAUUUCUUGUGGGCAUUUCUGGACCAUUAUCGCCAAGUGGGCAAUGCAUCGCAAUCCCGUCCCAAUAAUGGUGGAUUCCUUACUUUAUUCGAUCGCCAACUUUCAUACGACGAAGAUCAUCGUCACUGACCCCACAAAGUUCUCAUACAUCGGUUCCAUUCCUGAAAGAAUGCUUAAUUCAAUCUCAACAUCAAGCAAUCUUCUUCAGCAGUACCGGAAACGCAAGUCUGUUGGUCCGCGUGAGCUUAUUCCUACAAUGCUUCGUUCUAUUGAAGAAGUCGAUAAACCAGCCAAAAGGGGCAACAAACCUGAAUCACAAAAGGAGGGACCGGUAGCAAAACCAUCCAAGGGGCAGACUCCCAAGAAGUGGAAAACUGGUCAAGCAGCUGCUUCUCAACCACAACCCAAAAAGCAGAAGAAGCCUGCCAGGAAACUUAUUCUUCAAUCCUCCAGCGACUCGGAUUCAGAAUACUUUCCUCCUAACCAGAAGAAAGCUCUGUCAUCAGACUAUGAAGACGAAAGUUCAGAUGAAGAGGCUUCGAGCCGAGGGGAUACUCCCCAUUGCUCCCUAACUCCAGAAAUUCCGGUUCGUUCAUUGCCUCCUUCACCUCCACCUGUNGCCUCCUUCACCUACACCUGUUACAAUUCCUGCUUCUAUCCCUCCUAUCUCUCAAACAACCACCUCUCAACCUUUCACUUCAAUACCUAUUCCCACUCCCAUCCUCACAGACACAACCUCUACCACCACUACAAAACCUACCUUCACUAUUCCCAACCUACCUGUAACCGAAGCUACUCAAACAACCGAACCUCCUAAAACAACCGAACCUCCACCUUCCUCAAAACCCUUAUUGCCAACACCUUCUACAGAAACAAACCCAAUUUUGGGCGGUAAGGACUUGGAGUUUGACUCUACAUACUUCAGUCCUUGUCGAUUACGGAGUGAGGAUGAUGACGACGAGCCUAUCACCAAACGUCAUCUCAAAGAUGUAAACGAAAAACUGGAUCAAAUGCUUUCCUCCUCUUCCUCAUGCGCUUAUUCAGAUGUGGCAUUUAAGGCUCUCUUCUCUUCAGUUCUUGCUGAACAUUCAACCUCCUUAACUGCUGCAGCCAAGGCUAUUGAAGCCUCCACUUCUCAGUGUCAACAGGCCUCUAAAGUUGUUCAUGCAUCUACAAAAGAAUGCAAGGAUGCGACCGCAAAAGUCGAUAAACUAGUUUCUCAGGCUCAUAUCUUUUUAGAUUCUUUGCAGGCUGCUGCUGCCAAGAAUGCUGCUACAGUUACUGUUGGGUUUUGAGCAAUCUAACACUUCCUAAGUGUGCAUGCAACCCUAAUAAACCUUGGAUCUAUGUUUUCUUCUAAAAUACAUGCAAAUAAUAACUUCCAAGGUUUCUUCCUAACUAGCAUAGCAUAAGGAUUAAGAAUCAUAAAAGUACUAGUAGAAAUACAUACCUUUUGAUGAUGGUUGAUUGUUUGGAGUUUGAGAGCCAAGCACCAAUAGUGUGAAUGCCUCAAAUGGAAUCACAAAUCACCACAAACACUUGGAAAACUUUGAGAGAGUGUAUACACACAUAGAAAAUCGGCCACACACACAAAACCACACUAGUGGCACUUUCAUGCAACAUAAGCAUGCUUAUAUAGUGUACAUGGUUAGGGUGAAACCCUAAUAACCCAUGACCUUUCCUUUUCCAAGGAUCCAUGGGUUAAAAGCUCCAUGGAUCAUCCAUGGACUUCCAUAUAAGCCUAGCCCAUUAACAAAUGAGUGUUAGCCCACACUAUAUAAAACCAAUAGCCCAUAAUCUAAUUAGUCUUCCUUUUAAUCUCUAAAUUAAUUCAUAAUUAAUUUAAGACUAAGACUAAUUAAAUAACAUGACUUCAUAUUAAUAUAUUAUAACUUAUAAUAUAUUAAUAAACAUAUGUGUAUAACUCUCAUAAAAUUAUCCAUAAAUAGUUCGGGUGAAGUGCAACCCAAAUGGACCAUGCCGGGUCGGGUCAAGUAUAUACCAAAUAAGUUAUGGACUUAGACACCUUAUCCAACAGACUCCCACUUGGAUAAGUCUAAUAACUAUAUUUGCGUAUGUUACUUCAGGAACCAACCAGCAAUCGUAGCUCUCGAAAACUCUGUUGAACUAUGAAGCGCCAUUUUAGAUAAGUGAUCAUAUAAUCCUCUGUUCUCAUGAUAUCAGCCGGACAAAUACAUGGAACAACGUCGUACUUAUUGUCCAGCAGUUUGUUUCCCGAUUUUCGAUUUGUUUGACAAAGAACUUAAUCGAACACAUCAAUUUAGUUCUGACCGGCCGGUACAUAGGUCACAACAAAAUCAUCGAGGGGCCCAGAUAUCGCUUCUAUUUCUAGAAGGAACAGAUAAACUUCGACUCAUAUGCUUGUUCUACUACUUGUUGAAUUGUACACAAAGGCACGUUUUAUAACAUCAAGUUACUGAUGCGUUUACGUGCAAUCAAUGCACAACCAACUCAUAGGUAACAACUCAUAUCUCUAGGUUUGAAGAUUUAUAUGAUAUUACCGUCUCACGAUCACUCGAGAUAAAUUCCAUGAAGUGAUACAAGUGAGCGUGGGUUUAUUCCAAUACUCAUAACUUAUGAGCACUCAUGAAUGUUGUAGCAACCAUUGCUAUGACUAAACCCAUUUAGCCAUCUACAAACUCGAUUCAUGACAGUCUUGAUUCAUACCUACUUCCAACAUAUGAACGACUGUGGAGUGUUUAAAUAACUUAGUCAUUCGGAAAGAAUAACCUAGCUAUUUUGGAAGUCAAAACAUGCAAAGUGAAACACAAUAAUAAUCGAAUCCAAUAUGGUCUCAGAACCCUUUUGAAUAUAAAUAGAACCACCUUUUAUUUAUCACCAUAUUGAUUACACAUUAUUCAUUGUAUAAUGUUUCAAACAAUCAACUUAAGACUUGAAUAAAAACAACAGUCGUCCCAUGCUCCUAGCAUGUACACUUUGUUUUUCUAAACAAUAGUUAUGCCAUACUCCAAGUAUGCACACUAUGUUUGUCUAUGAUCCUUACAUUGUGAUGUAGAUCAAUUGAACAUGAUUCCAAUGAUACUCAUUUCACAAUCCCAAAUCCUUAUUGUAAAUGUGAGAAUCCCCGAUUCCUAUCAUUUACCAAAAAAACUGUUAGAUUUUAAACUUUUAUGCAAUGUUCCUCUUGUAAUGAUUAUGCACAAAGUCACCAAAACCUUGUCACCAGUCAUUACAGAGUAUUCCAAAGAAGGUCAACUUCUAUGGAACGGAAGUCUCAUAUUCAAAGUACAUUGCUUUGAACAUCCUUCUUGCAUUAAGGUUUUCUAAUCUUACAUAGAUUGAAUAACUUCCACCUAUGGAGACAUUUCCAUAGUCCCAUUUUGACUAUCACUUCCGAACAAGAGUUACUUCUUUUCAGAAUAUGUCAAUAUGGUCCUUUCCGACAACUUACAUCAUACUUCCAACUUUCCCUGAGCAACCAAUCUUUGGCGAACCUCAGAUUGUCCUCGACAAUUGCUUAAUCACUUUAGUCAUAUCCAGUUCUAGACUUUUCCCUUCUCAAUGCCUUAAGCAUUUGGAAAAUUUAGAAAAGAUGAAUAUUAUAGCACAUGCAAUCGAUCCUAUAUCCGAAGCAUAUGGGACACGAUUCAUGAUGUUUGACAUAAAGACAUGAUACUAGACCAGUCUUUUGCUACAAUAUUUUUUAUUUGCCAUGUUUUCAAAAUUUAACUAUGAAGAGGGAUGCCGUAAUCAUAAUCGAAUUUUGAAAACGCAAUAUAUAUAGAAUUUCUUCAAGUUGAACCAUUCCAACAUAAAAUUCAUAUAUAUAUUCUUGACUAAAGAUGAUUAAAAUCUCAAUCUAAGCUUUAGAAUUGAAAUGAAGUAUAAUUUCCUCUCCCUUAAUUAUAGCAAAACAACUUUUCAACCCCUGCAACUUCACGAAUUGAAACUUUGUUUUCUAUAAUUAACAUUGCUAACUUGCAACACUAAACGUAAUAAUCAUGCUCCCACUAACAUGAUGAUUAUCAGCAUAACACUUAUGCUCCCACUAGCUCUGACAUAUUUCCAGAAAUCUGCUGGACUUCUGAAAUUUAGAUUCAUACACCCUUUCUUAGAUAGCUCACAUGUGUGUCUAAACAAUUUUCAGAACUAUGAAAAGGGAUGCCGUAAUCAUAGUCUCAAUUGCUUAGGCAUUUGCCAUUUCUCACAAGUCCAUGUUAGUGUGCCGGUUAACCACACGCGCUCCACUAACGACUUUUGAAAAUGCAAAUAACACAAUUGAUAUCUACGUAAAAUCUACUUAGUGAAAGCGUUUCCUCACCAUCAUUUUCAUGAAUCGGAGAGAAACCUUAUGACACUUAGAUUUUAUAGUGUAUGAGUUCCUAUCCAUGUGAAUUUGUCAAAACCAUAAUCACAAGAUAAGGUUAGUGACAAAUUCAGCCUUACAUGGAUUAAACUUGUUCAAUCUUAGUUUCUUGUCACCUUGGUAGCACAAGGCCCACCAAUGCUUCCAAGUUGAACUCUGAUAACUCACAUGCAAAUUCAACUUAUUUGAAGUAGGUACAGAAAUAAGAAUUAUGUCAACACGAUAGGUUGCAAACCUUAAGUCGUGUGCUAGUGAUAAAUUACAGGUUUUACUCUUGAUUAAAUCUUGAAACUCUUUCAGGAUCUUUAAGGCUCCCACUGUCCCCUUGACAUAUAAGUUUCCCCAGUCAAGAACCAUUCCUUGACAAAACAAAUAUUCAAGGGAUAGUGCGGAUUCUUAUCAAGACUAACACUUCACACAAUUGGUCUUAGUUGGUCUUUGUCUCAUCCAAGACAUCACAACUUACCAAUCUCAAAUGUACAAGAGUAGAAAACAUUUUACUCUUACAUUUGACUAGUGUUAAUAAAUCUUCCUUUAUGUCACUCAAAGUUACAAUCUUGGAGUAUGACUCUAAGAAUUGUUUUGGAACGAAGUAUGACUCAUCUUCUUGAUUUUAACCAAUCCAACAAUUCAUGACCUCUCUUCUUAGCCAUAACAAUGCACUAAGACGUCCUUAGAGUAUGAAUUUGUGAUAUGGUUUCAUAAUCAUUAAGAUGAUCAUGAAAUACGAUACUAAAGUACUCUCCCAUCCUUUCAGAUUUGAGAAACUUUUAUCUUUCUGCCUAAUUUGAUUCUUCUCAUUUGUUUUGUCAUACAUUGUAACCUUUCCAAUGUUACAGAAUUAUACUUAACCUCAUAAGUAUAAUCAUAUUUACUAAUCUUUAGUAAAUCAUGACAAAUCAAUCUUUGUGGUGGACCUUGACCAGCGCACACCCAGUGUACCUAAUUCCUUAGUCCUUCAAUUGACUCACAUAUACAUGUGAUCAAAGAAUUAGUCUUAAUUUUCAAAGAUGAAAAUUCUCAUUCAUCAUACAAUACAACUUGUAUGAUUCCAAGUUUCUGUCCAAUUGAAACUUGGGUGAUGAAAAACUUUCUUCAUUUGGUAAAUUCAGACACUACCACAAAUGAAAGAAUCAAAUCCACUUUCCAAUAUUGCUAUUACUGGAAACAUAUAAGCAACAAUUUUCCACAGAUGCCAUUGUAAGGAUAUUUUUAAAAUAAAUAAAAUUAAAACCCUUUUUUUUUUUUUUUUUAAAACUUUGCGGAAAAACUUAUCCUUACAAUCCACAUGAAAACCUUGUUGUUAUCUAUUCAUAAGCAAUAUAUUAUAACUCUUAAGCAACAGCUCAAAAUUCUGAUUACCGAACCAUGCGAUCGAAACCCACCUUCGCAAUCAGAAUCAACAUAUACUUACUUUAAGCUUCCUAUCUUUUCUUUGAUUCUUAAAAACAUCAGCAUGUGACCCAUUCACAUUAUGUAAUAAGAAUCUCCAAAUAGGAACUUAAUAGAGUUAGACAGUGGACUUUACCCGAAGUAGAGUCAAACCUCUUGACUUGAUCAACCUUAUGACCUUUCAGGUGAAUAGGGCAGCUUCGCAACCAAUGCCCCUUCCUUUGGCAACAAAACACAUGGACCCUUUGGUAAUGGCACAUGAGACUAUCUCAGA
This 47177-nucleotide long non-coding RNA is filed under the name Lactuca sativa (garden lettuce). RNAcentral's name for it is "long non-coding RNA (LSAT_LNC004033)". The record is from RNAcentral. Lineage: Eukaryota; Viridiplantae; Streptophyta; Magnoliopsida; Asterales; Asteraceae.